This 59660-nucleotide long non-coding RNA is filed under the name Eucalyptus grandis. RNAcentral describes it as "long non-coding RNA (EGRA_LNC003118)". Lineage: Eukaryota; Viridiplantae; Streptophyta; Magnoliopsida; Myrtales; Myrtaceae. The record is from RNAcentral.
AAAAAGUUGAGAAUACUCAUUUUUCUUGGAGUGCAUAUCUCUUCACAAGCUCAAGUACGUCUCCCUAGCGAGCUAAGAUGGCUUGAAUGGCCCAGUGCUCCGAAUCUAGAAUUUGUCUCUAGUCGAAAUAAACUUGUGAGACUCGAUGUCCCGAAAAGUCAUAUCAGACAAUUAGGGGGCAACUUUCAUGUAAGCCAUUGUGAUGAUUAGCUUUUCGUUUUUAUAGCUAUAAUUUUUUUUUUUUUUUGCAGAGCUUAAUGACUUCACUAGUAUGUUUUUGCAGAAAUUUGGAAAGCUGAAGUCCAUCAAUUUCAGUGAAUGCAAGUCCUUGGUUAGUAUUUGCGACCUGUCACCGGCUCCAAAUAUGGAGAAAUUGAUUCUUAAUGGGUGUGAGAGCUUGGUGGAGGUUCACCCAUCCGUUGGAAAUCUUGUCAAGCUAGAAGUUUUAUCGCUAGAGUUGUGCUCUAAUCUUAGUAAUUUUCCCAACACACUGAGGACUAAAUCUCUUCAAACCCUUAAUCUCUCUGGUUGUUCUAAAUUCGAGAAGUUCCCAGAUAUUGACGGAAAGAUGGAACAUCUAAAAAGACUUUAUCUUCGUAGGACGGCUAUUAAAGAACUCCCUGCAUCAAUUGAAAAUCUUGUCUCUGUGGAGUGGAUAAAUUUAGCAUUUUGCAAAAACCUCGUAAGGCUUCCAUGGCACAUUUAUAAGUUGAAAAAACUAGAGUUUUUGAAUCUUCCUGACUACUCUAAUUUAAUCACGUUUCCAAAAAACAUGAAGGAUUCAACUGAUCCCAAUGCUCGUGGGGAAUUCCAAAAUCUAAGGUUCCUAGAACUUAGCCGCUGCAAUCUAUCAGAAGUAGACUUCCUUGAGAGUUUUUCCAGUUUUCCCACAUUGAAGUUCCUGUACCUUUUAGAUAACAAGUUUACUCAUCUGCCGACAUGCAUCAACAAGUACCAUAGUUUGUACGAAUUGUCUGUUGAUAGAUGCGAGCUACUAGAAGAGAUUCCUCAGCUUCCACCAAAUGCCGACCUAUCAGCCAGAUGUUGCAAAUCUCUGCAAAAAUUCCCAGAUCUGGGGGGUCGCCCCGACCUCUCUCUUUCCGUUAACUUGACUUCAUGUUGUGAAUUAUCCCGCAGAGGGGUCACUAUGGCUGAUGUGGCUGAUUUGUCGUUACUAGAGGUCUCUCUCUAUAUAUGUGUAUAUAUAUAUGUCAACUGCAAAUGCUUGAUAUGCGUACUAUCUGUGUGACAGGAUCUGCCAAAGGUGGAUCUUCUCAACAUUUGCCUACCUGGAAGAGAGAUGCCUAAAUGGAUUCUCCCCUGUGAAGGGAAGUCCAUAUCUUUCAUGAUUCCUCAGGAGCUGUACGAUAAGUUCAAAGGAGUAGCUCUCUGUGUUGUUCUUGGCCCGGAGGAAGGAAAAGUGGUCGAUGCUUCAUGUUCAGUUGGAACAUUAACAUAUGUUAAUGGCCGGUCAGCGGGUCAAUUGGCACAAAAUUUUUAUUCAAUGGAAUCUGACCAUGUGUGGUUUCAUUAUCAUCCAGACCUUUUUCUAAAUCUGCGAAAUGAUUGGAGUCAUUACCAAGUUUGCCUCUGGGCAGAAAAAGCAAGCAUAAAGAAGUAUGGAUUCUGUCCAAUAUGCGAGCAAAAGGAGGAUGUUCUGAGGAUGGUGAUCCCAGCACCAUCAGCCGAUGGAAACAAAUUGAAGUUUUCAAGGAGUGAUUCAGAAGAAGAUAGUUCAAUAGACACCAUGGAAGCAGAUGAUCUAUUUGAAAUGUAUGCAGGGGAAAGCUCAUCACGUUUAACAAAGAAGAGAAGAAGGUCUUAACUACGGUGAGACUAUAAGUUCCAAUGUCUUUUCUUUUUCCUUUUCUGGGCCUCCACUAGAGAUUUGCAAGUGCCUGCUCCUUCAAUUAGAAUUCAAGAUCAUUAUAAAACAGGGGUUUCGCACCAUGCUACUAACAUGAUUGAGGAAUUUUUUUUUUUUUUAUGUGUUGUUUCUCUAUAAUUUGUGAUGCAGAGUGCAUUAAACCAAAAAUUAAGAGGAUGCUUGUUAAAAUGGCCAUGGUCUUCCAAGUUGCUCCAUGUAAUUUAUCACACGGGCCUCUGUUGCCUCUCUUAAUCCAAUUAAUGAUGCCAAUAUUUUGUACUUUAAAAUUCUAAGAUAGUAAGUUUUGCUCAAUCUAGUAUAAUAUGUAUCUUCAGGAAAAUAUCGUUUGAAUUGUCUCAAAGAUUAAGAGGUCUACACAGGAAAAAUUAGUUGAUUCCUCUGUUGUUGGUCAGCAGAUUGCAUUGGAUAGGUAUAAAGGGAUAGCGCUGGCUUCUAAGAAACUUUGCAUUUUGGCAAAGGAGGUUGACUUCAAGGAUUUUCAUGAAAAGCAAAUAGUAUGUGGCAAACACCUAAAAUAAGUAUUGCAAAGCAAUUUUUAGAAUGAGAAAAAAGAUUAAAAAGGGAGAAUGAAGGAACUUGUAGGUACAUGUGAAAGCACAAGCGAGUGGCACAACAGUAGGACCAAUGCCGACGUCGUGCGACCCUAGGCAAUAUGCUGCUGAGGUCAACCACCAAACCUAGGGGACGCGACACCAAUGUUGCUUGACCCUAGGCGACACAACACUGAACGCAAGUGUCCCAUGACCUCAAUUGGCAGAAUGUUGGAGCCACACAACUAGGCAACGCAACGCUUCACCCUCGACAAGCUAAAUCUGACAUCAAGUGUCCCAUGACCUCAAUUUCAGCUCAUAAAUUACAAGCUCGUGUCUUUAUCAAGCUUGUUGUUCCAACAUGCAACGAUCUAGAUUUUAAAAACAUGACAUCAAUACGGUUUGAUUGCUACUUCAGUUAAAAUCACGAUGGAUGAUGAGCACGAUUCGGUUCUCCAAUCAAAGCUAAAACCCAUCUCCAAAAAAGGAAAGAAAAGCCCAGAAAGAACACAUCGGAUGCAAUCACCCCCAUCAAUCGAGGGUCCAAAAGGGGAGGUCACAGGGACUAAUACCCAGCCAAACUGAUCAUGUACGCGAAGCAAAUGUGGAAAAAUAAAAAUUCAACACAAAUCAAGAGCAUUGAAGAUCUCAAAUGAAGCACAAAGUAGAACUCACAAGCCAAGUUGUGUUUGGAAAGCAAGGGUGACCCGAGUGUUAGGGUUUCUAGUUAGGGCUUUUUUUUUCUUUUCUUUUUUCCUUCUGAUUUACUCGACAUUAAGUGAGGUGACCGGCAUGAGUGGCGAGUGGCAAGUGUCGAGCGUUGAGUGGGGCGAGCGUCAAUUGGCGGGCAACAAGCGUUGAGCAAGGCAAGCGAUGCGAGUGGCACGCACGAUCAGAGGUGAGCAGCAUGGGCAACCAGAGGCGAGCGGGAUAUUGCUACUUUUGAUUUUGGCAAAUUGAAGAACAAGGAAGAUAGUAUGGAAGAGAACGUACUUUGGGGAAGGAAGCCGUGAGGAGAUUUACAGCGUAAACUUCGCGCCAUUUUGGAUGUCGCGAGUUCGUGACUGUGAGGACUCCUUGGUCCUCACAAUGAAGAUUGAAGAACAUACUCUGGACUAUAGAGGACGUCGUGAAGACCUUUACGACGUAAACUUCACGCCUUUUGGAAUCGGAUGCCGUCUGUUUGUGACUGUGAGCCUGAGGAGUGAACAUCUUCAACAUCAUUUUACUUAGGUUCGAAUAUAUAAAAGAAUUAUAAAUAAUAUAAUAUAACAGACAUUUUACUUAGAUUUGAAUAUAUAAAAGAAUUAUAAAUAAUAUAAUAUAAUAUAUAUGGUAGGUCAAGGGUUGGACCGACCAAAAACUCUUAGGACCGGAGACUAACUCGCACAGUGUUGGUCCUGGAAUUUCAGGACCAAAGACCGACCCAGUCCCCUUGGGAACCGGACCAGGACUGACAGGGUUGGGCCGAACCAGGGUCGGUCCAGGGUCGACCCUAGACCGCUGCUCACCUCUACUGCUUCGCUCCUUCUCUCUCUCUCUCUCUCUCUCUCUCUCUCUCUCUCUCUCUCUCUCUCUCUCUCUCAUGUGCAAAUAAAUUUAUACUCCACAAAGGACAGGAAAGAACUACCAACGCUAGUGACCCUCUUUUGGAUGUCACCCCAUAAAGAGUAUUGUUGACAUCUGAAUUUUGUCCAUUGUUCAAGUGUCCAUUUUGGGCAAAAACAUAAAAGUGCAAAUAAUAAUAAUUAGAAUUAGUUCCGCCCAAAAUCUAAUCCCCUCAGCCCAUCUUUUAGUUCCCUUUGAGCCCAUUUCUUUUGUUCCUUAUGUUGUCCUCAAUAGCCCAUCUGAACUUAAAACAAGAAGGCCCAGCCCAUAUCCCAGGCUCCUUCUCUUUUGCCUGCUCCCCGUCCGUGAGCGACGAAGACGCGAGCAGUGACCGAGCAAGAGAGGCGUCCGUGAGUCGGUCCGUGAGAGAACAGCGAGAGAGGGAAAAUAACAUAAAAGAUUCCUUCUCGGAGAGAGAGAGGGGAGGAGGACGCUCGACGACAUGGAGAGGGCGUGCUCGACCAUAUAGGUGAGCAGGGGAGCUAGCUCGAAUGGGAGAGAAAGGGAGAGUGCAUCCCGUUUCGGAGUAGCAGAAAACCGCAUCGCCGGAGUUCGCCGACGGUUUUCAGAGCUCCGGUUAACGGCCAAUCCGCGAGUUGUUCUUCACAGGGUCGGUGUCGAAGGUCAGACGAGUACUGAGAUUUAUUCCGCGAGCGGGGGAAAAGCUCUAACCAGACGCCCUUCAUCGUCGUCAAUCGAGACCUCGACUCGCCAAACAAACCAGGUACAGUCUCGGUCCAAACGCUCUACUUCGUCUCUGUUUUGGCCGAGAAAGACAUGCUCGGUUCGAUCGAUUUUCUUGAAGAGAUCUUGAUAAAACGAAGUUUCUUUGUUGAUAACCAUGGUGUUUUAAGUCUGUUCGUAACGUGUGAGGCUCAGGAUCUCGUUAAAAUUAAGACAGAAAACCAUUGAAAAAUCUGCGUAUUACAUGUUUGAAAAAAUGCCUAAAAGAGGCCGAAUGUCAAGUCCCGUCUAAAUUCAAGAUCGAUUCGUACUUGCUGUGUUUUUUGUUGAAUCAUAUCUAAUGAUGGCAUUUUCUCUGUGUUUCUAUGUGAUAUCUUUGCUUGAGUCCAACGUACAUGCGUAUCUCCAAGGCCGCAAAGCUUUUCGUCAGAGUAUCCCCUUGCACCAGCGAAGUCAGCGUUUCCGGGACAUACUAGUUAGCCCAUCUCACUUCAUUCUAAUGUAUUUUUGCUUGUUAAUUUGUUGGGAUGCUGCGGUGAAAAGUGUGGAUUAGGUAGGAUGGUUUUUGUUAAGUUUUGUGAUAGAUGGAGCGGGCGGCCAGAGGUGGUCAACGUCGGUCGGAAUAAAUGAUCGGCGGCUGGAGAUAGAUCGGCGGUAAUCUAAGUUCUGGUGAUAAACUCGUCAACGAUGGUAUUUGUUCCGUUAAAAAGAAAAAAUGGCGCGAAAGGUGGGGUUGCAGGUUGAAGAUGGCGUUCGGGUAAAGGAUGUCCGGAGGAAGAAGAGGAAGUGCAGGCAGAAAAAGACAAAAAGACAAAAAACAAUUAGAAAAAAACAUUAAAAAUCCAGUUUUAAUCCGACGCGGGUCGGAUGCGGGUAUAAGGGUCGGGUCAAUGGGUCGGAUCGGGUAAACAGUCCGAACCCAUUCCCCGAAUAUAUUAAUAAUAAUAAUUAUUAAAAAUUUUAAAAAUCAAAAAAUUCAUUAAAAAUUUAAAAAAUUAGGAAAAAUUUUAGAAAAAUUCAGAAAAUGAUAAAAAAAACUUAGGAAAUAAUAAAAAUUUAGAAAAUUCGAAAAUCAAUAAAAUAUCAGGAUUUUUAGAUAAUCAUUAAAGAUUUUUAAAAUCUGAAAAAUAUUAAAAAAAAAAAUCGAUAAAAACAUUUAAAAUUUUGAAAAAUGAGAAAAUUCAUAAAAAAAUUUAGAAGAUUCAGAAAAUCAUCAAAAAAUUUAAAAAUUCAGAACAUAUUAAAAAAUAGAAAAUUAUAAAAAAAUUCAAAAAAAUUAGAAGCUCUUAGAAAUUGAACCCAUAUUUGGACAAGUCUUUAGAGUUUUACAAUAGGGUUCUUUAGUGGUUUGGAAUUUUUUUUUAUAUUUUUUAAGGAACAAUAUUAGGAAGCUUGAAUGUUUUCUUUUUAUUAUACUCAGUUGUACUUUUUAAUAUAUUGGAUGUUAUUUCUUUUGUUUUAGAAUGGUCAGGACAAAACUUAAAUUUUUUCGAUAGGUUGCUAUGGCAUUAGUUAACAUAACCAAGUUAGGUAUUGAAAGGGCGUUAGUCUUAGGGCUAACGUAAUUAAAUCCACGAGUCUAUAAUCUUUGAUUGUAUAAAAAAUAAGAAAUUCUCCUUUAUCUUAUUGAUUUCUAACUGCCCCCAAAAAAGCUAGUGGCCACUUUUUUGUUAAAAUUUACAUAGGCUAAAUUGAUUGAAAUUUUCAACAUUUAAAGUCACGCAUGGUAUGAAUUUGAGAGAGCUAGAGUCAAGGAAUGGUCAUUGGCCUUAAGUUGAUAAUAUUCCUAAACCUAACAAUGAGUUAGGUCACGACAAGUAUAUACUAGUUUUUCAUUCAAAAAUAUAUAGUUUAAUUCACAUCUUAUGCAAUGAGAGCAAGAGCAACGUCAUUGAUAGAAAAUGAUUAAUAAAACCUAAAGCAAUGUACCAAUUUCUAUUUAUAUGUUGGAUCAUAGCCUUCCUUAUUGUUGUGAUUUAUUUUGAGUUAACAACGUUUGAGAACAAAAUCCAAAAGGAUGACUCUACAAAAUUGCCACGCGAAAACCACAAAGCGCGAAGCAAUGUUGGGCAAAUUCACGAGAAAAUCUUGGGCCGACCCGAUUUGAAACAAGCUCGGGUCAAAAUGGGCCUCUUAAGACUGAAACGAUGGGCCGUUUCUCUUGCUAGCUUAAUUGGAACAUGAAUGUGGUUUGGAUUCGCUUUAUAUUUCAUGAAAAUUUUCUUUCCUACUUUUUAAUAUAUUUUUUUAUGAUGAUUUAGUUUUUCUAAGUUCUAAACUGGCCAAAGAAAUUAAUCAUGUGCUAUUGUAGUUUAUCAGUGCGGUUAAUUCACAUGAGUUUACUUUCAAAAAAGCUAAAAGUAACUCUAUUUGAGUAUUUGGUAAAUUCUCGAAUGCAGAAUUUGGUGUCAUCUAACCCCGAAGUAAAUUUUAACGCAUCCCGAUCAUGAAAAUGCUUUGACAAAGAGUUCGUUCAUAUUAGUAGUCUUAACUAGUAUCUUUAGGGCACUUCUACACUUUUAAACAAAUUUUUUUAUGUUAAUUGUAAUAAACUCUUCAAAAAAAUUCUUUUUAAAAAGUCAAGGGAUUUUAUGUUCGCUCUAUAAAAAAUUAGUUCGCUCUUAAAUUAUAAUGUGGUGGUUACUUACAAGUGGAACCCAUGUUAGGAUAUCACUCGGCAAAUCGACAGUCAUCAAGUUCAGAUUUUGGAUGAAUAAUGGCAGACGGAAAGAAAAGAAAAAAAAAUCAGAUUUUUUUUUUCCCAUAACAGUUUAGGAACCAUCUGAAGGAAGUGACACCCAGUCACAGCUGGAAAACCUAUCUGAAAUUAAUUGCUUGGAAAUAACUUGGCCAAAAAUAUCCCAUCAAUUAAUUAAUCUCUAUCCACUUCUCAUUUGAUGGAAGAAAAAUGUCAAAAGUAGAGUAAUCUUGAUUUCGAAUCUUACGCUAGUGACAGACACGUUGAUGACUUAAAGCAUCCUCAGUCACGUCAGGUUUGGACCAAGGCCUUUUUCUAGACGAUGGCUUCUUGACAAUAUUUAUCAUUCCAUAAAAUAUCAUCAAGGGGUCAAAAAAUUCGAAGAAACGAGGAAAAAAGACUGACGAGAAAGGAAUUGCGUAUAUUUUCAUUUUUGAUAUUUGCAAUAUCUUUACUUUUUAGUAUGUAUCCUCUAAGAAUCAAGCCAUUUGAUGGUCAUAGUAAAGACUCCGUCGUCCUGCUCUUAAUAGAGCAUGUCCCAUAUUAUUGUUUGUCUAGACUAAUCUAUCUUCCGUCAAUUGAGAAUUUAAAGGAAUAGCAAUAAUUUCCAUAGUUCGUCAAAUAGUUCCCUUGAAGUGCUUCCAAAAGGUCUCAUAUAUUCUAUCAUUCGCCUAUUGCGUAUCAAGUUCCAACAUAGCUAGCAACUUCUUUGCCCGACUUAACAUUGUGUUUAGCUUAUGGGGAUUCAUGUCUCCAGACUUAAUAACGAGGCCAUGUUUAUUUUUUGCCUGACUUGUAUCGAGCUUUUCAUCUCCCAUACUUUUUCUUGGAUGCUUUCGAUACUUGGUUGUUUACUUUAAAAAGCCAUUUUCAAUGGCCUAUAUGUUAAUUUCCUUUCUAGAAGCUUGAGACUAGAACAAUUUUUUAGGUGUCAACUUAAACUUUGGUGUCAAUAUUAAUGUAGAUAAUUUUGUAAUUUUUAAUUCUAUUUUUAUUCUCUUCACAGGGCUAACAAGACUGUCGAGCCCCCACGCUAGCCAUGGGGGAGGGUUUGUUGUUUCACAAAAAUAAUAUUUACAAUAUACCAAAAUUGAGAUUAGGUGAAACUUAAACAUGAAUGUGCCAUAUGAUAUCAAACUUCAAUCUGUUAGUACUCAGCUCAAUAAUUUUACAAGUCCAAUUGAGUUAUUCUUUUUGUAAAUUAUUUAUAUGAAUUUUGAGCCCAGUCCAAAUUGAAUUCAAGCGCAACUUCUGAAUACUUCAAUUUUCUUUUUCAAUUGAGUUCAAGCAAGAAAUUCAAUUCCCGAUCAAGCUAAGCUCGAGCGAAGUUUCAACCGGUCAAACAUGUGAGUCGAUGCGCGUGGACUGAGAGACACCAGCCGAGCAGGUUAUCACGUGGGCCGGUGGCACCUUUCGUCUUCGAGUCCUUGGCCGAUUCUUCAUCGUUCCAGAUUCGUUGGUCGAUUGCCACGUGUUCUGGUGGAUCCGACGCUUCAGAAUCUUCGGUUCUUUCUGCUUCCCUGGCUCUCUCUUUCCCCACUUUCUUCUUUCUCCUCCUUCAUACUUCUUCAAAACAAGAGUCAACUCAGAGCCGCCUGGCAGCCACAAUCCAAGAUCUCUGUCUUCUCGCCCUCGACACCGUCAGGGCCGUUCCAUCCAUUGUCGUUACGGGUCAGCUUCAUUUACUUUUGCACAUCUAUGGUUUUCCGCCGAUCCCGACGUGGAUCUCGCCCUCCAAACCCUCGCCGCCGCGCGUUCCUUCGUCGUCCAGCAGCAUAUUUAUCUGAAAUCGAAAGCUGAAAACGUUUUCACCAGCCAAAUGGCCCUGAGAGCGCUUGUUUCUUUGAAGCGAGCGAGCGAGAGCCAGAGCCAGGGCAUAGGGAAGAGAUCCUCGACUUUGCUGCUGAUCGGGGAUGGGCAACCCCGGGUCAGAGGCCGCCAAGCAUCUCCGAGAGCAAAGCCCACUCUGCUUCUGCUUUAAGCCCUCGAUUUUCAUAGCAAGACUCUCUCUCUCUCUGUUCCGAAGCUUGGCAUUCUAGAGAAGCACAUGUACCAUCAGCUCUUCUGAUGGCUGCUUCUUCGAAUAUGAAAAGGAAUUACCAUGUGUUCCUCAGUUUCAGAGGGACAGAUGUCCGCCAAGGGUUCCUCAGUCAUCUCUACGCGGCUCUGGGCCAGAAAGGAAUAUACACUUUUGUGGAUAGCGAGGAACUUAGGAAGGGAGAGGAAAUAUCGCCGACGCUCAUGAAGGCGAUCGAGGAAUCGCGCAUCGCGAUCAUCGUUUUCUCUGAGGAUUAUGCCUCCUCGCCGUGGUGUUUGGAAGAGGCUGUGAAAAUCAUGGAGUGCAAGGAGCGAAUGGGCCUGAUUGUGUUCCCAGUGUUUUACAAAGUGGAACCAAGAGAAGUAAGAGGAGGGAGAGAGAGUUAUGGGAGAGCUAUGGCUAAGCAUGAGUCCAAGUUCGGUAAGGAUUCAGAGAAAGUGAAGAGAUGGAAGAAGGCUCUCUUUGAAGCCAGUAGCUUGUCUGGGUGGGAGCUGAAUGACAGGUACGCGCAAAUGUGACGUGGUGUUUUGUGAUUGUUAGCUUGUGAUUGUUUGUUAGAUAUCAAAUCGUAUGCUCUUUUUUGGAUCUUCGAAUUGAAGAUACAAAGUGGAGAUAAAUUAGACAGUAGACACAUAAUCAAAUAACCGAAGCUCGUAGAUUCUUUGAAUUGAUUCUUGCUGUGUGGAUAAUGAGAAAUUUAUGUAACAUAAAUAGUGUGAUUCAUAGUGCCCGAGUCAAUAUUGUCUUCAGAUUCAGGUUCUUUGUAAUUUUCCUUGCGUAGAUGUUGGCGCAGGUACACCCACCUUUCAUCUUAUAUUUUGCUAAUCUUAUUAUGGAAUUUUACUUAUUCGAAAUGCUAAAACCUGUUUAUCUUUCUUGAAUGCUUAUCAGAAAUGAAGCGGAGCUCAUACAAUGCAUAGUAAAGGAAUUAUCAAUUCAUCUCAACCGAACGCCUUUACAUGUCGCUAAGUAUCCAGUCGGAAUAGAUUCCCAAGUUGAAAAACUUAUAUCAUUGUCAAAUAAAGAGUCCGAUGAUGAUGAUGAUGUUCUCAUGAUAGGUCUAUGGGGACCUGGAGGCAUAGGGAAGACAACAAUUGCCAAGGCCCUGUUUAAUGCUAUUGAGAGACAAUUUCAUGGUUGUAGUUUUUUGGCGCGAGUUAGAGAAACUUCGAACUCAAGUGGUGGUCUAGUUGCUUUGCAAAAAAAACUUAUGUCUGACAUCUUAUCUCAACGAGAUUUAAUGGUUGAUAGUGUCGAUGGAGGAAUUAAUUUGAUACAGGAAAGACUAUGUUGUAGGAAAGUUCUCCUGGUUCUUGACGACGUUGACCAGUUGAAUCAAUUGAAUGCGUUAGCUGGAGAAGGCAAGUGGUUUGGUAAAGGAAGUAGAAUCAUUGUUACAUCAAGAGAUAAACAUUUGCUAACUUCUCAUAGUAGACAUUUUGUAUAUGAAGUUCGGACUUUAGAAUUCAAUGAAGCACUAGACCUUUUUUAUCGGCAUGCUUUCCCAAAUAGCAAGAGAGUUGAAAUAAGAUGGGAUCUCAUAUAUAGAGCAGUGCAAUAUGCUAACCGCCUUCCAUUAGCCCUUGAAGUGUUAGGCUCAUUCUUACGUGGGAGAGAGGAAUCUGCAUGGGAAAGUACAUUACAUAAACUCUCCAAAAUUCCUGAACAAAUUAUUAAUCAAGUUCUCAAGAUAAGCUUUGAUGGAUUGGAGCACAACGAGAGGGAGAUUUUCCUGGAUAUUGCUUGUUUCUUUAAGGGGAAGAGCAUGAUGUAUAUUAAGGAAGUUCUCAAUAGCUGUGAUUUCAGCACAACCAUAGGAAUAGAAAUUCUCAUAGAGAGGUCCUUGAUAAAAAAUGAGUAUGGGUUCCUACAAAUGCAUGAUUUGAUUCAGUUGAUGGGUAAGGAUAUUGUUAACCAGGAAUGUCGUGAUGAUCCCAGAAAGCACAGUAGACUAUGGCUUUUUGAAGAUGUUUUGGACAUUCUAAGUAGUGAUAAGGUAAAGGUUGUGUAUGUCAAUUAUGCUACAUAUUAGUUCUUACAUUAAUCUCGUUUGAACAGUAUAAUGUAAAUCUAAAUGGAAAUUUUGUGUGGCAACUGAAUUUGCUUUGUUAUGGACAGGAAAUGAAUGCAGUAAAGGCCAUAGUAUUGGAAUUGCCUACAUCAGAAGAGAUAACUAUUAGUCCUAAUGCUUUCACAAACAUGAAAAUGUUGAGAGUGCUCAUUUUGCUUGGAGUGCAUAUCUCUUCACAAGGUCCUAUAAGUCUCCCUGAGGAGCUAAGAUGGCUUGAAUGGGCCAAUGCCCCGGAUCUAGAAUAUGGCUUGAAACUUGUUAGACUUGAUGUCAAGAAAAGUCAUAUCAAACAAUUAGGAAGCAACUUUCAGGUAAGCCCUUGUGAUGACUAGUUUUCACUUUUUAUAGUUAUAAAUAUUGGCAAAGCUCAAUGACUGCACUAAAAUCUUUUUGCAGAAUUUUAGAAAGUUGAAGUCCAUCAGUUUCAAGGAAUGCAUGUCCCUAACCGGUGUUCCUGACUUAUCAUCAGCUCCAAAUCUAGAGAGCUUGGAACUUGAUAGGUGCAAAAGCUUGGUGGAGGUACACCAAUCCAUCGGAUAUCUUGACAAGUUAAAAUAUUUGUCACUACGAUGGUGCUUUAAUCUUAGUAUAUUUCUUGGUACACUCAAGACAAAAUCACUUCAAGACCUUCGUCUCUCUGGUUGUUCUAAACUUGAGAAGUUCCCCUAUAUUUUGGGAAGGAUGGAACAUUUAGAAAAUCUUGAGUUACAAGGGACAGCUAUUAAAGAACUCCCUGUAUCAAUUGAAAAUCUGAUCUCUGUGAAGUGGGUAGAAUUAGGACAUUGCAAAAACCUCAUGAGGCUUCCAUCGAGCAUUUAUAAGUUGAAAAAACUCGAACGUCUGAGUCUUGAAGAGUGCUCGAAUUUUGUCAUGUUUCCAAAGAAUUUGGAGGAUUCAACUGAUCCUAAUGGCAAUUUGGGAUUCUCAAAUCUAGAGUGUCUAGAACUUGAUGGCUGCAAUUUAUUAAAAGUAGAGUUUCUUGACAGUUCUUCCAGUUUUCCCAAGUUGGCCUACCUAAGUCUAUCACCGACAAGCAUCAACAAGUAUAAUUAUCGGAAAGGCUGGUAUGUUGAUAAACGCAAGCAAUUACAAGAAUCAAAUAGGUGCAUCAUGGAAGUGAACAGUUGUAAUUUUCUACAGAAACUCCCAGAUUUGUUGAGUCUGCCCUCCGAUUGCCUUCAAGUUGACUUGAUUUCAUGUUGUGAAUGCAAAGGGGGCAAUAUGGCCGAUGUGUCCUCACUCGAGGUCAGACUCUCUCUCUCUCUCUCUCUCUCUCUCUCUCUCUCUCGCUAACUUUGAAUGCUUGAUAUGCGUACUGUGUGACCGAUGUGUCCUCACUCGAGGUCAGACUCUCUCUCUCUCUCUCUCUCUCUCUCUCUCUCUCUCUCGCUAACUUUGAAUGCUUGAUAUGCGUACUGUGUGACAGAGACUCCCAAAGAUGAUAAAAGUCGACAUUCUCCUCAGUGGAAGAGAGAUGCCAAAAUGGAUUCUCCAAUGUAAAGAUGGAUUCAUAUCUUUCAUGGUUCCUCGGGACUUGUACGACAAGUUCUUUGGAUUAGCAUUCUGUGUUGUUCUUGGCCUGGAGAAAGGAAAAGUGGUCAAUGAUAAAUGUCAGUUCCAAAUAUCUGUGAAUGGCAGAAGGGUGUUUGGGGAUUUAAGAAGCUUAUAUCAAUUAGAAUCCGAUCAUGUGUGGCUUUAUUAUCUCCCACGCAGUAAUCUUGGAUUAGAGAAGCUUAUGCAAAAUGAUUGGAGCCAUUUCCAAGUUUGCUUUGAAGCAUCGAAACUAAGCAUGAAGAAGUGCGGAUUCCGUCUAAUAUGCGAGCAAAAGGAGGAUGAUCUGAGGGUCCGUGCUCCAACACCAUCAGCUGAUAGAAAAAAAUUGGAGUUUCAAGGAAAGAGACUCAAAGGAAGACAAUUUUCAAUAGACACCGAGGAAGAAGAUAGUCCAGUGAAACAGAACUCAAUAAAGAAGAUGAGAUGGUUUUAACCAUGGCGAGAGUAUGGCUUGCAAAACAUGCCAGCUGAAUUGGUCACGAUUUGUUGAGGAAGUGAUUCUAGGUGAUUUUGAUUCCAAUGCCUCUUGCUUUACCCUUUUUUCGUCUCUACUGGAAAUUUGAAAAUGUCUGCUCCUUAGAUUAGAAUUCAAAAUCAAUUUGAAGUAGAGGUUUCGCAUCAUGCCUACCCAGAUGGUUGAGGAACUUCUUUUUUCGCUCUUUCUUUAUGAUCUGUGAUGCUGAGUACACUACUUCAAAAUUCAUCGGAUGCUUGUUGAAUGGCCAGUGUCUUCCAAGUUGCUUUGUGUAAUUUAUCAUGCGGACCUCUGUCACCUCUUAUAAUCUAAUUAAUGAUGCUAGCUAGCACUUUAUACUCUAAAAUUCUGAGAUAGCAAGUUUCGGUCAAUCUAAUAUAAUCUAUAUCUUUGGGAAAGCAUUGAUCUUAAUUGUCUCACAGAUCAGGAGGUCUAUACAAGGAAGAUUAGAAGGCUCCUCUGUUGUCUUUAUUCAGAUUGUAUUGAAUAGGUACAAAGGGAGAGCUUUAGCUUCAAGAUUUUGCAAUUAAGCAAAGGAAAUUGACUCAAAGGAAUAAAUCUUAAAGUGAAUAGUGUUUAACCCCUUGUGAAAAUACUUACUGCUAACGUUUCUUUAAUAAGAAAAAACAAAGAGAACAGAGGAACUUGCAGUUGCAUAUGAAAAGUCAGGCCGGGGCUACAACACUAGAACUGAUACCGACAUCAUGCGAUCCCAAUGCGCCCUGCGGUCGUGAGACCCCAUGCGGUGCGCCGUCGUUGUCACGAUGCGCAACUCCAUGGCCACACAAUAGGGAAGACAAUGCUUGAUCCUUGACAAGCUAGAUUUGACGUCAAGUGACCAACCCUUGGUCAAGCUUGCCGAUGUCGGAAAGCUGCACUGGUGUCUCCCGACCUUCUCGAAAAAGCAUCCCAGCCAUGAGGUACCAUGGUUUUCUCUUUGUCCCUAUCCAAGAUCGAGGGGGUAAAAUGAGAACAUCAAUAUAUUCGCAAGGGCAAGAUUAAAAAAAAAAAAACAUGAACAAGCAUGCCAAAGAUGUUAACCCCCAAGCUCUCGCUCGCCCUGAGCUUUGACCAUUUUCAAUGCAAAAUUUUUGCACCCAAAUAUUCGAAGACGUGUUCCAAAAUGCCAAAACUCUGGCUCAAGGGCUUUUGGAAAUUCAAAGCUGCUCGUCUCCCAUAUGUAGCUUGAGCGUCCUGGCUCGGUAAGGGCAGAAGUGUAAUUUCAUGAGUGCCAACUCAGUCGGCUCAUAAUUUGGGCCUCUUGACUCGGCCCCUUCCCCCGACAGAUAACACCUAAAAUUUUCUUCUGAAACCGAUCUUCGUGUCCGACGUCUUCCCGACUUUCUGAACCUUUUAGCCCUGAGAGCAAAAAUAGAAAUCUCGUUUUCUAGUUAUUUACUCUCUUUCUAAAUUUUGAAUUUUAACUUAUUCCACUUUAAAAUUUAAUAUGAACUUACAAUACUUUCUGAAUUGGUACUUUUUUAAGGCGAUCAAUAUUCACCGCUACAACCAUUUAAUAAUAGGAUUAAUCAAUCUUUUUUUUCAAUUUUUUUUUGUCAAGCUUGCACCCUUUUUAUAUAUAUAAUUUAAGAAUUAGGAGGUAAGAACAUAGUGAUUCAUGGUUCAACAAUUUACAUUAACCUCAAGAAAAAAAAUUAAACGUAGUUAUAAUUACUCUAAAUAUUAUUCUAUCAAAGAAAGAGCCAAUAAAUAAUCUCCAUACUAUAUAAGGAGUUGGCCGAUAUUGAUAAACAGUUAGGAGGACUAAAUAUUCAUUACCCUUAUUAAAAGGUUUACUUGUUUUCUUCUCUCAGAAUCAUACAAGUGUGAAAUAUUAUGUUUCCUUCAUUUAUACAAUAAAGAAUCCCUUAUACUGUGCACGCAAUUCAGGCUUUAUAUUUUAAUUUUUUUUAUUGUAUAAUUGAUGUACACAAAAUAUAAACACGUCUUUGUCUUUCUUCCUAUUUGGUAAAAAAAAAUCUUUACAAAAUAGCAUUUAUUAAUGUAAACACUUAAUUCGUGUGCUUUUUACACUAUAACUAUACUAAUACAACCACAAAAUAGAAUUUAUUGUAAAUUAUUAAUGUCUCUUAAAAAAAAAUAUAUCAAAUUGUUUACUCCAAGUAAUUUUACAAUGUUUUAUACCAAACAACGUAACUUUGCUAUCAAAAUACCUUCUCAUCUAUAGGGUUUACGAGGGUCUUCUAUAUAUGUAGUCUUUCUUUGUCUAAUAGCUUAAAUUUCUAGGUUGGACUAUUCAAUGUGAUAUCAAAGCCAAAUUCAAACCCAGUUUUUUUUUUGUAUAUGUGGCUCUCCAUCCAUCAAUUUCACCUAUCAUUUUAAGAUCGGUUUUGCACGCUAAAAGAGAUAUUAUAAUAUUAUACAUUGCUUGUUUACAUAAUUUACAUAAUUUAUACUUACCUUAUUAUCUCUUCACGAAUAGUGGCCAACAAAAAAAAAAUCAUAAUUAAGUGACUCCUACAAGGGCACGAUUACGUGUGAAAAAAGUUACUUUAACCUACUAUGAACUGAGAUGACAAAAACCAAUCAAAACAAAUGAUGUUGAUUAAGCUUUUUUAAGUCUAAAGUCCAAGUAUGCAAGGACUGACCUGGUUCAUUUUUUUUUAACAUAGUGAUCAAGAUAAUAUUUUUUACUUACUUAUAGUAGAUAGAAAUAAAAUCUAAUUUUAAUUCCCCCAAAAAGUUGACUGAGAUAGUGAGAGAUUGAUUCAUACGACAAAUCCUAUAUCUAAUUACAUACUCACCAUUUAGAAUAACUCUAAGGAUGCACACCCAUGAUCGACCCAUUGGCAGAUCAUGGGCAUGCAUCUCCCAAGCUUAUGGGGGUUCAUGUCCCAAGGUUAAAUAACAAGACAUUAUAUAUUCUUUCCCCAACUAAACAUCGUGUUUAGCUUAUGGGGAUUCAUGUCCCGAGACUUAAUAAUGACACAAUGUUUAUUUUUUGCCCGACUUGUAUCGAGUUUUUCAUCUCCCAUACUUUUUCUUGGAUGCUUUCGAUACUUGGUUGUUUACUUUAAAAAGCCAUUUCAAUAGCCUAUAUGUUAAUUUCCUUUCUAGAAUCCUAAGACUAGAACAAUUUUUUAGGUGUCAACUAAAACUCAGAUAUCAAUACUAAUGUAGACAAUUUUUAAAUUUUAAAUUUUAUUUUUAUUUUCUUCACAUGGCCAACAAGACCGUUAACCCCCUCACUAGGCAUGGGGGAGGGUUUGUUGUUUCACAAAAAUAAUAUUUACAAUAUACAAAAAUCGAGAUUAGGUGAAACUUAAAUAUGAAUGUGCCAUAUGAUAUUGAACUUCAACUUAUUAGUACUGGGCUCAAUAGUUUUACAAAUCCAAUUGAGUUAUUCUUGUUGUAAAUUAUUUAUAUGAAAUUUCAAGCCCAGUCCCCUUAUAUUUCAACAUAAUAAAAUUAAAUCCAAGCGCAACUUUUGAAUACAUCAAUUUUCUUUUUCAAUUGAGUUCAAGUAAGAAAUUCAAUUCUCGAUCAAGCUAAGCUCGAGUGAAGUUUCAAGCAAUCAAAAUACGUGAGUCGAGCUUGACAGUGCAUUAGCUCAUCUCAACGUGGCUAUCCUUUAUUUCGAGGACUAGACCUAGGACGCUAGCGCUUAGACUUGAUACCUCAGAGGUAGGUUGCGCAUCCUUGCGCGUGGAUUCAGACACACCAACCGAGCACGUUAUCACGUGGGCCAGUGGUACCUUUUGUCUUCGAGUCCUUGGCCGAUUCUUCAUCGUUCCAGAUUCGUUGGUCGAUUGCCACGUGUUCUGGUGGAUCCUACGCUUCAGAAACUUCCGUUCUUUCUGCUUCCCUGGCUUUCUCUCUCUUCUCACUUUCUUCUUCCUCCUCCUCCGUACUUCUUCAAAACAAGAGUCAACUCAGAACCGCCUGGCAGCCACAAUCCAAGAUCUCUCUUCUCGCCCGACACCGUAAGGCCGUUCGAUCCAUCGUCGUUGCGGGUCAGCUUCAUUUACCUUUGCACAUCUAUGGCUUUCCGCCGAUCCUGACGUCCAUCUCGUCCUCCACAUCCUCGCCGCCGCGCGUUCCUUCCUCGUCAAGCAGCAUAUUUAUCUGAAAUCGAAAGCUGAAAACGAUUUCACGAGCCAAAUUACCCUGAGCCCGGUCCAAUAUUUUCCUGAGAAUGGAACAGGCUGAGAGCGCUUGUUUUUUUAAAGCGAGAAAGAGCCAGAGCCAGAGCAAAGGGAAGAGAUCGUCGACUUCGCUGCCGAUCGGGGAAGGGCAACGCCGGGUCAGAGGCCGCCCAGCGUCUCCGAGAGCAAAGCCGACUCUGCUUCAGCCUUCAGCCCUUGAUUUUCGUAGCAAGACUCUCUGUUCCGGUGCUCGGCAUUCUAGGGAAGCACAUGUACCAUCAGCUAAUCUAAUGGCUGCUUCUUCGAAUAUGAAAAGGAAUUACCAUGUGUUCCUCAGUUUCAGAGGAACAGAUGUCCGCCAAGGCUUCCUCAGUCAUCUCUACGCGGCUCUGGACCAGCAAGGAAUAUACACUUUUGUGGAUAGCGAGAAGCUUAGGAAAGGAGAGGAAAUAUCGCCGACGCUCAUGAGGGCGAUCGAGGAAUCGCGCAUCGCGAUCAUCGUUUUCUCAGAGGGCUACGCCUCCUCGCCGUGGUGUUUGGAAGAGGCUGUGAAAAUCAUGGAGUGCAAGGAGCGAAAUGGCCUGAUUGUGUUCCCUGUGUUUUACAAAGUGGAACCAAGAGAAGUAAGAGGAGGGAGAGAGAGUUAUGGGAGAGCUAUGGCUAAGCAUGAGUCCAAAUUCGGUAAGGAUUCGAAGAAAGUGAAGAGAUGGAAAAAGGGUCUCUUUGAAGCCGGUAACUUGUCUGGGUGGGAGUUGAAUGACAGGUACACACAAAUGUGACAUGGUGUUUCGUGAUUGUUAGCUUGUGAUUGUUUGUUAGAUAUCAAAUUGUAUGCUCUUUUUUGGAUCUUCGAAUUGAAGAUACAAAGUGGAGAUAAAUUAGACAGUAGACACAUAAUCAAAUAACCAAAGCUCGUAGAUUCUUUGAAUUGAUUCUUGCUUUGUGGAUAAUGAGAAAUUUAUCAAACAUAAAUAGUGAUUCAUAGUGCCUUAGUCAUUAUUGUCUUCAGAUUCAGGUUCUUUGUAAUUUUCCUUGCGUAGAUGAUGGCGCAGGUUCACCCACCUUUCGUCUUAUUAUUUGCUAAUCUUCUUAUGAAAUUUUCCUUAUCACGUUAGAGGUUGAAUUCCUGCUAUGGCUUUGAAAUGCUAAAACGGGUUUUUCUUUCUUGGAGUGCUUAUCAGAGAUGAAGCGGAUCUCAUACUAUGCAUUGUAAAGGAAUUAUUGAUUCGUCUCAACCGAAAAUCUUUACAUGUCGCUAAGUAUCCGGUUGGAAUAGAUUUCCGAGUUCAAGGACUGUCAUGCUUGUCACAGAAAGAGUCGGCUGAUGAUGAUGUUCUGAUGAUAGGUCUAUGGGGACCUGGAGGCAUAGGGAAGACAACAAUUGCCAAGGCCCUAUAUAAUGCAAUGAUGAGACAAUUUCAGGUUUGUUGUUUUUUGGAGCAAGUUAGAGAAAAAUCAAACCGAAGCGAUGGUCUUGUUACUUUACAAAAGGAUCUUCUAUCUGAGAUCCUGGUUCAUCCUUUAACGGUCUACAGUGUCGCUGGAGGAAUUAGUUUGAUACAAGAAAGACUAUAUUGCAAGAAUGUUCUCCUGGUUCUUGAUGAUGUUGACCAUAUGAGUCAACUGAAUGCAUUAGCUGGAAAAAGCAAUUGGUUUGGAAAAGGAAGUAGAAUCAUUGUUACAUCAAGAGAUAAACAAUUGCUGACUUCUCAUGGCAUAAAUUGUGUGUAUGAAAUUCAAACUUUAGGAUGCCAUGAAGCACAAUAUCUUUUUAGUCUGUAUGCUUUCCCAAAUAGCAAGAGUGUUGAAAUAAGAAGGGAUCUCAUAGAUAAAGCACUGCAUUAUGCCGACAGACUUCCAUUAGCCCUGGAAGUGUUGGGCUCAUUCUUACGUGGAAGAAAGGAACCUGCAUGGGAAAGUACAUUGCAUAAACUCUCCAAAAUUCCUGAACCAACUAUCAAUCGAGUUCUCAAGAUAAGCUUCGAUGGAUUGGAGAACAACGAGAGGGAGAUUUUCCUCGAUAUUGCUUGUUUCUUUAAGGGGAAAAAUAUAGAGUACAUCAAGGAAGUUCUUGACAGCUGUGAUUUUCACACAGCCAUAGGAAUAUAUAUUCUCAUGGAAAGGUCCUUGAUAAAAAACCAGGAUGAGACCUUGGAAAUGCAUGAUUUGAUUCAGUCAAUGGGUCGGGAUAUUGUUAAUGAAGCAUGCCGUGAUGAUCCUGGGAAACGCAGCAGAUUAUGGCUUUUGGAAGAUGUUGAGGACAUUUUUUGUUAUAAUACGGUAAAAGUUGUUUAUGUCAGUUUUGCUACAUUUCAGUUUACAUUACUCUAAUUCAGACGGUAUAAUGUAAAUCUUAACUUGAAAUUUUGUCUAACAACUGAAUUUGCCCUGUUAUGGAUAGGGGACGGAUGCAGUAAAGGCUAUAGUAUUGGAAAGGUCCCCACCAGAAGCAAUAAUCAUCAGUCCUGAUGCUUUCACAAAUAUGAAAAGGUUGAGAAUACUCAUUUUGCAUGGAGGGCGUAUCUCUUCACAGGCUCAAGUACGUCUCCCUAACGAGCUAAGAUGGCUUGAAUGGUCCAAUGCCCCGAAUCUAGAAUUUGGCUCUGGUCCAAAUAAACUCGUGAGUCUCGAUGUCCGGAAAAGUCAUAUCAAACAAUUAAUGGGCAACUUUCAGGUAAGCACUUGCGAUGAUUAGCUUUUCCUUUUUUAUAGCUAUAAACAUAUUUGCAGAGCUUAAUGACUACACUAGUAUGUUUUUGCAGAAUUUUAGGAAGCUGAAGUCCAUCGAUCUCUAUGAAUGCAAGUCCUUGGUUAGUAUUCCUGAUCUGUCAUCGGCUCCAAAUAUGGAGAAAUUGAUUCUUAAUGGGUGUGAGAGCUUGGUGGAGGUCCACCCAUCCGUUGGAAAUCUCAAAUGGCCAUGGCAUAUGGACGUCUUUAUUGAAGUAACAAAUCAAAUAGCAAAAUAUAGCAUGGUCAUAGUGUAAAAUCUUUUAUAAAUCAGUAUGAUGAUAACACAUCAAACAGAUUAUCCACGAGCUGAUCAUUUUGGGAUUUAUUCAAUUUUUGUGUGUGUCUAUACAUAUACAUGUGUAUAUAUAUAUAUAUAUAUCUUCUAUGGUUAAAUGAUGAUAUAUCUCUAUAGUAUCACUCUAGUUAUACUAUAGAAAGUAUCACUAAAAUAUGUGUGCUUCACUCAUUCAGUUCUCUGUUUUUUCUUUAAUCUGUUCAUUGGGGGGUGAUGACUUGAGAUGAGAAUUUCUUUUUUCAAUUUUUCAUUUUUUGAUUCGUACUUUCUUAGUUGUCUUAAUAGUUAAACUCAUUAUUUACCUUUUUUUUUUGCCAACAUCAUUUUAUUUUUUAUCUUUUAAUUUAUAUAUGAUUUUUUAUUAUUAAAAAGUCAUGUAAGCAUACCAUGCAAAUAUUGUUAAUCCUGUCAACUACCACAGAGGAUGUCUAUUGUCAAAAUUGGAGGAAAUUGCAAAGGAAGGUAAAAUUGGGACAAUGGUACAGCUUUGACAGUUUUUACUUGUCCUAAGAUAAUUUGUGGUAAAUAUGUUUAAGUCAUAACAAUUUAAGAUUUUUUAUGAUUUAACUCUAAUAUAUAGAUGUAUUAUCUCUUUCCAUUUUCUCCUCUUGCGGAGUCUUGAGUUCCAUUUCAUUUGGCAAGUGAAAAUGCUAAGUAAUUUUCUUGGAGAACAUUGGUUAAGUCAAGUUCGUAUUAGGGAUUGCGUUUUACUUUAUUUGUUGCGCGCUAAAGUUCACACUCUCUCUCUUUCUGUCCCAUUAGCGACCCUUCGUUUAAGUCUGGAUAACCCCAGGUGGUCGUCUAUUCAGGGGAGGACGAGGAAAGUUCUGAAAGGAUCAUUUUCGAAUAUUGGCUCCGAUAGUUAUUUCCUGUUGGGGGGGCGGGGGGCGAAAGGAUCAUUAUAGUUCCGCGGUUUACGCAAAAGGAAGACGAAAGUCAAAAAGAAACGGACAAAUAGAUAUGGACCUUAGCAGAAUCUCUACUUUACCUUGUCUGUGAUCGUACGUGUGAGCUCCCGAAACAAAAAAGAGACCCCCCGGCACUGAGUGGAAUCUGAUACUUUCUUUGGCCUUUGUUCCAUUGCGUAACUCAUACUCCACGAAAAAAGUGAUAUAAAUAGAUGAGAUUGGAAACUCCAUCGGACGGUAGACAUUCUUGACGCAAAUCAUUCAUUAGCUCUUUCAAUGGCUUCUUCUUCUUUGAAUCCAAAAAAAUAUUAUCAUGUGUUCUUAAGUUUCAGAGGUCUGGAUGUUCGCAAGAGCUUCCUCAGUCAUCUCUACACAGCUUUGGACCAGAAUGGAUUAAACAUUUUUAUGGAUGAUGAGGAGCUUAGGAAAGGAGAGGAAAUAUGCCCAGCGCUCAUGAGGGCAAUUGAGGAUUCGCGCGUCGCAAUCAUCGUUUUCUCUGAGAACUACGCUUCCUCACGGUGGUGUUUGGAAGAGCUCUUGAAAAUCAUGGAGUGCAAGGAGCAAAACGGCCUGAUGGUGUUCCCAGUGUUUUACAAAGUGGAACCAAGAGAAGUGAGGGAGGGGAGAGAGAUUUAUAAGACAGCUAUGGAUAACCAUGAGUCCAAGUUCGGGAAGGAUUUAGAGAAAGUGAAGAGAUGGAAGAGGGCUCUCCUUGAUGCUGGUAACUUGUCGGGGUGGGGCUUCAGUGACAGGUACGCACAAAUGUGAUGCAGUGCUUUGCGAUUGUUAGCUCUGAUUGUUUGUUAGAUAUCAAAUCGUAUGUAUAGCUUUGAAUUGGCGAAACGAUGCAUCAAGUUCUUUGAAUUCACAGUAGACACAAAAGUCAAAAGACCAAAAUUUGAAGCUAGCAGAAAUUUUAGUCUUAGAUAAGUAGUGUGGUUCCUAGGACCCGAGUAAUGAGUGUCUUCAGGUGCAGAUUCUUUGUAAUUUUCCUUCCGCAGAUGUUGGCGCAGUUAUGUGUUAUUUCUUUUCAUCUUAUUAUUUGUUAAUCUCCUUAUGAAAUUUUCCUUAUGACGUUGGACGUUGAAUUUCUGCCAUGGCUUGAAAUGGUAAAACAUGUUUCUGUUUCUUUUGAGUGCUCAUCAGAAAUGUAACAAAUGAAGCGGAGCUCAUAGAAUUCAUCGUCAAGGAAUUAUCGAUUCGUCUCAGACCACGAUCCUUGUAUGUCGCUAAGUAUCCAGUUGAUAUAGAAUCCCGAGUUCAAAAACUGAUAAGUUUGUCAGCGUCAGCUGGUAGUGAUGUCAUGAUGAUAGGUCUAUGGGGACCUGGUGGCAUGGGGAAGACGACGAUUGCUAAGGCCCUAUAUAAUGCUAUAGAGAUGGAAUUUCAUGGUUGUAGUUUUUUGGCGCAAGUUAGAGAAAUAUCGAACCAAAGCAAUGGUUGUGUUGCUUUGCAAAAGCAACUUCUAUCUGAGAUCUUACCUCAUAAAGAUCAAACGGUCUACAAUGUCGACGGAGGAAUUAGUUUGAUACAAGAAAGACUAUGUCGCAAGAAGGUUCUCCUCAUUCUUGAUGAUGUUGACCAUAGAGAUCAACUGAACGCAUUAGCUGGAAAAGACAGUUGGUUUGCAAAAGGAAGUAGAAUCAUUGUUACAACAAGAAAUAAACAAUUGCUGACUUCUCAUGGCAUAAACUGUGUAUUUAAAAUUCAAGCUUUAGGAUACUGUGAAGCACGAGACCUUUUUCGUCUGCAUGCUUUCCUAGAUAGCGAGAGUGUUGAAAUGAGAAGGGAUCUCAUAAAUAGAGCAGUGAAUUAUUGUGACGGCCUUCCGUUAGCCCUCGAAGUGUUGGGCUCAUUCUUUUGCGGGAAAAAUGAAGAUGCAUGGGAAAGUGAACUGCAAAAACUCUCCAAAAUUCCUAACCUAGAUAUUAAUCAAGUUCUUGAGACAAGCUUUGAUGGAUUGGGGCCUAACGAGAGGGAGAUUUUCCUCGAUAUUGCUUGUUUCUUUAUGGGAAAGCAAAUAGACUACAUCAAGGCAGUUCUUGACAGUUGUGGUUUCUUCACAACUAUAGGAAUAGAAAUUCUCAUCGACAGGUCGUUGAUAAAAAAAGAGGAGGAUGGAACAGUGCAAAUGCAUGAUUUGAUUCAAUUGAUGGGUAAGAAUAUUGUUAUUCAGGAAUGGCCUGAUGAUCUUGGGAAACGUAGUAGAUUAUGGUUUUACGAAGAUGUUGAGAACGUUCUCUAUGAAGAUAAGGUAAAGGUUGUUCAUGUCCAUUUUGCUGCAUCUUAGUUUUUUACAUUAUUCUAAUUCAGAGAGUCACAUGUAAAUCUCAACAAAAAAUUUUCUCUGACGACUGAAUUUGCUAUGUUAUAUGCAUAGGGAGAGAAUGCAGUAAAGGCCAUAGUAUUGAACUUGCCCGCACCAGAAGAGAUGACCAUUAGUCCCGGUGCAUUUGCAAACAUGAAAAGGUUGAGAAUGCUCAUCUUGCCUGAGGUGCAUAUCUCUUCACAAGGUCCUGUACGCCUCCCUAAUCAGCUAGUUUGGCUUGAAUGGCCCAAUUCCCCGGACCUAGAAUUUGGUCCUGGUCCAAAGAAACUUGGGAGACUUCAUUUCCGGAACAGUCUUAUCAAACAAUUAGUAGGCAACUAUACGGUAAGCCCUUGUGAUGAUCAGCUUUCCGUUUUCAAAGCUGUGAAAACAAAUGACUGCACCAGUAUGUUUUUGCAGAAAUUUAUACGUUUGAAGUCCAUCGAGCUCUUGGAUUGCAAGUCCCUGGCUAGUGUUCCUGACCUUUCAUCGGCUCCACUUCUUGAGAGCUUAUAUCUUUUAAUGUGUGAGAGCUUGGUGGAGGUUCACCAAUCCGUCGGAGAUCUUGACAAGUUAAAACUUUUGACGAUAUCAAGGUGCUCCAAUCUUAGGAUGUUUCCAAAAACACUCAGGACGAAGUCUCUUCAAAUACUUAAUCUCUCUAAUUGCUAUAAACUCGAGAAAUGCCCUGAUAUUCUGGGAAAGAUGGAACAUCUAGAACGUUUUGAUUUAGGAGGGACAGCUAUUAAAGAAGUCCCCGCAUCAAUUGAAAAUCUUGUCUUUGUAAGGACAAUAGAUUUAGGAUAUUGCCAAAACCUCACAAGGCUUCCAUCGAGCAUUCAUAAGUUGAAAAAUCUUCGAUCUCUGAUUCUUUACAACUGCUCGAAUCUUGCCAUGUUUCCAAAGAACUUGGAGGAUUCAAUUGAUCCUGAUGGCAAUUUGGGAUUCCCAAGUCUAAGUUCCCUAGACCUUCAUGACUGUAAUCUAUCGGAGGCAGAGUUCCUUGAGAAUGCUUCCAGUUGUCCUAUAUUGACGCAUCUAAAUCUUUCAAAUAACAAAUUUACUCAUUUGCCGACAUGCAUCAACAAUUAUGAUUAUUGGAAAGACUUGUUUGUUUAUAGAUGCAAGCAAAGCAAAGGGGUCAGUGGAGCUGAUGGGUCAUCACCCGAGGUCUCUCUCUCUCUCUCUCUCUCUCUCUCUCUCUCUCUCUCUCUCUCUCUCUCUCUCUCUCUCUCUCACGUUUGGAAUGUUUGAUAUGUGUACUAUCUGUAUGACAGGUAGUUGAGAUUGUUGCAAGUGGAAAAGAGAUGCCUGAAUGGAUUCUCCAUUGUGAAGAGGACUCCAUAUCUUUUAUGGUUCCCCCAAACUGGUGGGACAAGGCCUUAGGACUAGCACUCUGCGUUACUUUUGAUCAGGAUAAAGAAGACCCGUUCGGAAAUGCAUUUCAGUUCAGUAUAUUUGAUGACGGCAUAAGAGCGUUUGGCCGUUCGAUAUUUGCUUGUCCGUCAACUUCUGAUCUUGUAAGUCUUGUAUAUAUCCCAAGCAACAGAAUGAGAGAAGAGAAGCUUCUGCAAAAUGAUUGGAUCCAUGUCCAAGUUUGCUUCAGAAGACUGAUAGGAAGAAUAAAGAAGCGUGGAUUCCGUCUAAUAUGUGAGCAACAGGAGGAUGAUCUGAGGGUCGGUUUUCCAACGCGGUCAGGCGAUGGAAACAAAUUGGAGUUUCAAGGAAAGAUACCCAAAGAAAGACAAUUCAGAGUCACUGAGGAAGAAGAUUGUCCAGUGGAAAAGAACUCAACAAAGAAGAUGAGACGGUCUUAACAAUGGCGAGAGUAUGGGUUCAACUCGCACCAAUUGUUGAGGUAGCGAUUCUUGGGGAUGCGAACUGGGUGAUCUUGAUUCCAAUGCCUCUUGCUUUUCCCUGCUUUUUUCUCGUCUCCACUAGAAAGUCGCAAAUGUCUGCCCCUUCAGUGUCAAUUAUAAAAUCAUGCCUCUUGCUUUUCCCCGUUUUGUCUCGUCUCUACUAAGAAAUUUGCAAACUGCUCCUUCAAUUAGAAUUCGCAUAAUGCUACUGACAUGGUUGAGGAACAUUUUAUGUCCACCUCGUUCUCUAUGAUCUGCGAUGCAAAGUGCACCAAUCCAAUAUUAAGUGGAAUGCUUGCUGAAUGGUCAUGGUCUUCCAAGUUCAAUGAAACAUAUCACAUCGAACUCCGUCACCUCUCUUAAUACAAAUAUAUUUUGUUUUUUUAAUUUAAUAAAAGUCAUUUACAAAUGUAAAUUUUACCAAACGGUAUUUUGGCAAAAGUUGUUUUUCAAUGCAAAUUUUACCAAACUUUAUUUGUAUUUCGGAAGACCCCCUUCAUCCAAAGGUAUUUGCAUUUCUACAAAUGCAUUCCUCAAAAACCGAACCAAACGGGCCCUAAGACUUUGCGUAUAAGCAAAGGGUAUUGACUUGAAAGAUUUUCAUGAAAAGCGAAUGGUGUUUGACAAAUGCCUUGUAAAAUAUUUAUUACAGAACAAAUUUUAGUAUAGAGAAGAAAAAUAAGGAAAAAAAUAGAGAAGGAAGGAACUUGCAGUUAUAUAUGAAAGCACAAGCGGGGGCGACACAACAGUUGGACCAGUGCCGAUAGUGUGCAACCCUAGGCAACGCGCCUCUAAAGUUGAGCAAACCUGGCAACGCAACACCGAGGUCGAGUGAAACUAAGCGACACAACACUAGUGUAACGCAACCCCAAGUGGUAGAAUGCCGGGGCCACACUACUAGGCAACGCGACGCUUGACCCUCAGCAAGCUAAAUCUGGCAUCAAGCGACCCUCGCAAAGCUCCUCGACGUUGCGUGACCCUCGGCAAAGCUUAACCAAUGUCAUUCAACACUCGGCAAAGCUGUACCAGCGUCCCUGGGGCCCUCUUCAAAGCUUCCCGGCCAUGAUCAACCACAUCUUUCUCUCUCCUAUCCAAGAUUGAGGGGUAAAAUAUGAUUGCAAAUAUAUUAGUGAUGGUGAGAUUGGAAGAAAAAAAACUUUAUUAAACCCCUAAACUUGCAUGUCAAAAAUGCUAAAGCCCAUACUCAGAGGUUUACCCUGAACUUUGUGCGUUUUCAAAGCAAAACUUUGGAUCAAAAUCUUUGAAAUUGGGUUAUCAAACAUCAAAUCCUUGGCUCAAGGCCCCUUGAAGGUCCAAAAUAGCUUAAUUCAAGAUGACUGAGCACUCAAAUUUUAGUAUAGUCAAAUUUAAAUUGCAAAUCCAUGUUUAUGCGAGGUAUGGUCUUGGGAGAGAUUUAUGAUUGAGGGUCCGUUUGCGGUGUUAUCGAGUUAAGGUCCAUUCGAGACUUUAGCUUGUAUGUACCAUUUGGUCGCAACACUUAUUUCAAAAACAUUGUUGGCGGUUUAAGAUAUCUGGCUUCUAUUAAGCAAUAUAUUACUUAUGCCUUUACCAAAAAAAAAAUAUAUUACUUAUGGUGUGGGAAUUAUUGGUAGGUUCAUGGGGAAGUCAUACCAAUCUCAUUUAUAGGCAACAAAAAGAAUUUUAUGGUAAGUGGAACUUGUAAUCAUGGAGUUUAUGUUCUUGUACUAACAAUUUCAAUCUAGUGGUGUAUACAAAUAAUGAUUGGGAUGGUGAUAUCGAAACUCAAAAAAGCACUUGUAAAUAUGCUUUCUUUCGUGGAUCACAAAUAAUCUCUUGGUCCUCUUAAAAACAGGUUGUUAUACUCUUGACUACUAAAGCAGAAUACAUAAUAUUAGUUGCAGUGGCAUGUCAAACAAUGACUUCGGAGAAUAUUGUGUGAAUUAAUGCAUGAACAAAAGGCCCACCAAGCAAACACAGUGCCAUCAAGUAUUACUAUAUUCAUGGGUGUGUCAAAAAUGGUGAAAUCGAGCUUAAUUUCUACAAAUUAGAAGAUCAAGUUGAAGAUAUUUUGACGAAACUAUUAAAAGUGGAUUCUUUCAAAAAAUUAUGGACCAUUUUUGGUGUUGGUGAUUUCCAAAUUCAAUUUUAAGACUAUCAGAAUGAUAUAAAAUUGAUUGUUAGAUCGUUGAAAAUUUGAACACGUCACUUGUUGGUUUCUAUAUAGACUGCUAGUGUUCUUCAAGAAGGUUGCAAGCAUUUUAUCAAGAAGAGCCAUUAAUGACUUCAGGAUGGCUGUUUAUCUAUAUAUGCAAACAAAAUAAGCGGUUUGUUUUUUUUUUUUUCAUUAAAUGGUGUGUGGACUGUUUUGUUUUCUUCAAUAAAUGUUAUUGACAUUUGUGCUUAAUUUGUGUGCAUUUGGCUUCUAUAUAAAGAUCUGAAGUUAAAAAAUUGUUAGUAUGAAAUCACAUAAAGAAAGCAUUCUAAAUAAGAAGUUCUCCUCAUCUUGUCUAUAUUAUUUAUUUGGUUCCAACAAAGUGUUGAUCAAAUUAUCUCAAAGAUGAAAAGGUCUAUACGGGAAGAUUAGUUGAUUUCUCUCGUUACAACUUAGACUUUGCAAGUGAGAAAAAGACAUUGACUCGAAAGGAUUUGCAUAAAAGAAAAUAGUGGUCGGUAAAUAAUGUGCAAUAAACUUAUUGCAAAGCAAUUUCUAAAAUAAGAAAAAAAAAAAGGGAAAAUGAAGAAAUUUGCAGUUGUAUAUGAAAGUUCAGGCAGGUGGCACAAUCAUAUCACCGGCAUUGACGUCGCGCGACCCUAGGGAACAUGCUGCCGAGGUCGGGCACACCCUGGUGGCGCAACAUUAGGGCCACGGACUAGGCGAUGCGACGCUCGACCAUUGGUGAGCUAGAUGGCAUUGAGCGACCCUCAACAAAGCUUGGCGAUGUCUCCCCAGUCAUCGGCAAAGCUACGCUGGGGUCCCUUGAUUUUUUCCGCGAAGCUUCCCAGCCACAAUCCACCACGGCUUUCUCUAUUUCCAUCCAGGAUUGAAGGGUAAUAUAGGAAUAGUAAUAUGUUAGUGACAGCAAGAUUGGAAGAAAAAAAAAACCAUGCCUCGAACUUGGAGCAUUUUCAAAGCAAAAUUUUGCACAAAGUAUUUAAAAUUAUACUAUAAAAAACAAAAUUUCGGGUCAAGGGCCUUCAGAGGCCCUCGUAAAUGCUCUCUCAAACACUGCAGCAUAUUGGCUUUAUAAGAGCAAUGCAAUUUUAUGAGUGCCAACUGAACCCAUAUACUUUGUCAAGAAGUCUUUACCAAAUAUAAUUUGCAUGUCCCUAAAAAGCUUUAAACUUUUAGUAUUUGUAUUUUUCCAAAGCUCAUUUCCAAAAUCGAACCAAAGGCAGCUUUAGUUGGCUCAGCAUUUGGACCUCUUGAGUCAGCCCCACCCCAACAAAUCACCACUGUCCAUCAUACCCUGCCUAUCGGCACGGAGUAACCGAGAUGCAUUUCAGUCUCAUUUUGUACUUUCGCUCCACACCCAUCGACUCAUCUCUCUCUUAAGGCCGCAUAGCAUCUCCCCGUUCUUGGGGCCACUACAUAUCAUCUUCAAAAAGAAAACUCAAGGGAUUUAUUUUCACUCUAAUUUGUUCUUAAGGCUCAAUUCCUUUCACAAAAAAUAAUUUAUAGAAAAACGUUUUUUGGAUUUUCCAAAGGGAAAAAAGUUCUCUAACGUUGGGAAAAAUAUUUUUCACUUUUGAGAAAGAGAAAAAUCUAUUCAAUUCCUUCUUUCACCUCACUUUCCUUUAUCAAAUAAUUUUUUCCUUUUAUUAUUUUUAUUUUUUUAAUUGUUUUUAUUCUUUCAUUUUUUUCCUUUUUUUUAAAAUUUUUUUCCACCUAGGCAGGGCUUGAGCCUCACCAAAGGUUGCCAGACAUCAGCAAGCCUCUGGCAACUUCCGAUGAGGCUCGAGCCUCACCCAAAUCAUUGAAUCUGGCAAGCUCGAGCUCGUUGGUGUUAGGUGAGCUCGGCCUCACUGGCCUGUGGUGAGUCUCUAGCUCACCUUUUGCCAGUGGCCAACUGUUGUUGGGGCUAGUGACCGGCCAAUGAAGAAGAAAAGGAAAAGAAAAAAUUGAAAAAUCUAUUUUUAAGAAAAUAUAUAAUAAUAAUAAAAUUAUUGAAAUGAGUGCAUGAAGGAAAAGAUUUUCCCUACCAAACGGCGAAAAAUAUUGUCAAGUACAUUUUCAGGUUUCAAUCGAAGAACGGAAAAUAUGAUUAUUUUCCUGGAAAAUGGUUUGGCUUCCAGGAAAACAUUUUACAUUUUCCAGAAAAGUCAUAUUUUCCGCAAAAUGGAGUGUAAAUUAUAUGAAGAUCUCCCUUUUUUUACCACUACAAACUAAUUGAAAUAGAGCAGGCCAAAUACAUCAUGCAUUCACAAGAUCACGAGCGUGCCAUAUUGCAUAGACUAGUACUAAUGUUAUAGCACAAAAAACUAUGGUUUAAACUAAGUGAAAAUAUAGUCUAAACUUACCACGGAUUUGACACAAUCUAGAAACGCUUGGAAUAUUAUUGUAUAAGAAGAUCCAGUAAUUUGUUUAGCUUUUAGAAUCCAAGUUCUAAUAGGAUCACGUGAUAGCAUAUGUUUUCAUUAUUUAAUUAGUUAAUUUAACAUAUUUACCUAGGAGUACGGACAAAAAACGAAUUUAGGUAUGUUCCUUUCAAUUAUUAAGGUUCUCCAUGGUAAAAUAAUUCCUGACUUAUAGAAUGGUAUCUUUUGGCAACUGCUGCUCCAAAUAUUUUUCUCUUCCCUUUCCUUUUCCAUAUGGUGAAUUUUUAAGGGUUCUAUACUGCGGUAUGACUUUUUUUUUUUUUUUGGUCAAAGCGGUAUGACUUAUUGAGAUGUGAUUUUUUUACGGAAGAAUGGGUCAACUUCAUUCCUCAUAUGUAAAUUAAAUCCCCAUCGAAUUAUCAACCUUACCAAAACUAGAAAUCAUAUAAGCAAUCAUAAAUUAAACUCCGAACUUGUUUCUUAAUAAUGCGAUACAAGUGGAAUCAAUGUUAGGAGAUCACUUGGCGAAUUGAGAGCUGUCGAACUCAAAAUUUGCAUGAAAUACAGCAAAUCGAAAAAUAAAAUCAGAUAAUUUCCUUUUUUUAUUACAAUUUCAAAGCAUUACUAAACUUUAUUUGAGGAACCAUAAAAGAAAAUGGCACCCAAUCUACUACUGCAAAACCUAUCUGAAAUUAUUUGUCAGGAGGUAAAUAAGGCCAAAAAAAUCAUCUGGCAAUUAAUUAAUCUCUAGCUAAUCGUCAGGUAGAGUGGUCUUGAUUUCGCAUCUUGCAUCAAUGACAGAAACAUCCAUGACUUCUAGCAUCUUCAAUUAAGUUAGGAUGGGCUAGGCCUUGUACUAGACAAUGAUUUCUUGACAAUAUUUGUCAUUGUGUGGGUAUUAUGAAGGGGUUAUAAAAAUCAAAGAAAUGGGGGGAAAUGAAGAACGAAAAAGGAAUUCGUGAAUUUUUCACUUUUGAUUUUCGCAAAUUGUUUCCAUAGUUUUGAGGUUUCAGUAAAUAAUCCUCUUAAUUUGCUUUUUCAUUGGCAAUUUUAUGCAUAAUUUGUAGAAUAUAGGAUGGCGCAAUGGAUAUGUAUUAUUUUAUGUUUUUUCUUAUAGAGUAUUUUUUAAUAAGGAUCUUGGGUACCUGUCGUGAUCUCUUUUUUCGGCAUCCGAUUAGGGCGGGCGCCGACGGAGGCUAAUGGCUUGGUUAGGUCUCUUAGGCCCAACCCGGACUCUCCCAAGCCCACCAAUUCGCGACUUAUGGUUUGAGUCUUUAGUUUAUAGGUUAAUUUUAAAAAAGAGUCGCCACCAAUCAGUUUGAGGUGAGUCAUUUAGAAAUCCAAAAAAAAUAUUGAGAGAAAUAUUCGCUUUUGUGCAAUCAGAUAAAUUAGGAUCGGGGACUUGAUUACAUUAAUUAAUCACUAAUACUCUUUCGGUAUCUGAUCUUGUUUAAACCCUAAAACUUUUUGGAUUUUUAAGGGUUUUCUAUGCAUUUGUGGAGGAAAAACAUUUUUUUGACAUUUUUCUAUUUUUUAAACAUAAAAGGGAUUUUUGGAUUUUUUUUUUGGUCUUUUAUAAAUCAUUUUUUGGCUUUUUCUAACUUUUUUUUGGCUUUUUAAGGAAAAUAUGGGAUGUUUUUUAUUUUUUUGAUUUUCUGGAAAAUAAAUUAUUUUUUAUUAUUUUAUUAAAAUACUAAUUUUUAAUUAUAAAAAAAAGCGACCCGGGUCGGAUUCCCCGGUUGGGACCGACCCGGUUCACUGGCCCUCAGCCCGAAUGGCCGACCGCCGGCCCGGAGGGCCCUAGGCGUGGGCUCGGCCCAUACGCGACAGGGGCCGGUUGGCCCGGACAGACCAAAAACCCUACCCGGUUAUGACCCGCGUUCGACCUAACUCAGUAGCCGCGACCCGAAUCCUGAAAUCCAUACCCGGAUCCGACCCGCUUGAGGACAGACUUAAAAACCCUAGUGGCAGCUUUCGUCUUCUGAGUCCUUGGCCGAUUCUUCGUCGUUCCAGAUUCGUUUGUCGAUCACGUCGAUCUCGCCCUCCACACCCUCACCGCCGCGCAUAAGCAGCAUAUUUAUCUGAAAUCCAAAGCUGAAAACGUCUUCACGAGCCAAAUUACCCUGAGUCCGGUCCAAUAUUUUCCUGAGAAUGGAACAGGCUGAGAGCGCUUGUUUCUUUAACGCGAGAAAGAGCCAGAGCCAGAGCAAAGGAAAGAGAUCGUCGACUUCGCUGCCGAUCGGGGAAGGGCAACGCCGGGUCAGAGGCCGCCGAGCCUCUCCGAGAGCAAAGCCCACUCUGCUUCAGCCUUCAGCCCUUGAUUUUCGUAGCAAGACUCUCUCUUCCGAUGCUUGGCAUUCUAGGGAAGCACAUGUACCAUCAGCUCUUCUAAUGGCUGCUUCUUCGAAUAUGAAAAGGACCAGAUGUCCGCCACGGCUUCCUCAGUCAUCUCUACGCGGCUCUGGACCAGAAUGGAAUAUACACUUUUGUGGAUAGCGAGGAGCUUAGGAAAGGAGAGGAAAUAUCGCCGGCGCUCGUGAGAGCGAUUGAGGAAUCGCGCAUCGCGAUCAUUGUCUUCUCUGAGAACUACGCCUCCUCGCCCUGGUGUUUGGAAGAGCUCUUGAAAAUCAUGGAGUGCAAGGAGCAAAACGGCCUGAUUGUGUUCCCUGUGUUUUACAAAGUGGAACCGAGAGAAGUAAGAUGAGGGAGAGAGAGUUAUGGGAGAGCUAUGGCGAAGCAUGAGUCCAAGCUCGGGAAGAAUUCAGAGAAAGUGAAGAGAUGGAAGAAGGCUCUCCUUGAUGCUGGUAACUUGUCUGGGUGGGACUUCAAUGAUAGGUACGCGCUAAUGUGAUGCAGUGCUUUGCGGUUGUUAUCUCGUGAUUGUUUGUUAGAUAUCAAAUCGUAUGUAUAGCUUCGAAUUGUCAAAACGAUGCAUCAAGUUCUUUGAAUUCGCAGUAGACACACAAAGUUGAAAGGCCAAAUUUCAAGCUAGCAUAAAUUUCUGUCUUAGAUGAGUAGUGUGUUUCCUAGGACCCGAGUAAUUAGUGUCUUCAGGCGCAGAUUCUUUGUAAUUUUGCAUUCUGCAGAUGUUGGCGCAGGUAUGUGUUAUUUCUUUUCAUCUUAUUAUUUGUUAACCUCCUUAUGAAAUUUUCCUUAUGACGUUAGACGUUGAAUUCCUGCCAUGGCUGGAAAUGGUAAAACAUGUUUCUAUUUCUUUUGAGUGCUCAUCAGAGAUGAAAGAGAUGAAGCGGAGCUCAUACAAUUCAUCAUCAAGGAAUUAUCAAUUCGUCUCAGACCAAGAUCCUUUUUUGUCGCUAAGUAUCCAGUCGGUAUAGAAUCCCGAGUUCAAAAACUGAUAAGAUUGUCAGAGUUAGCUGGUAAUGAUGUUUUGAUGAUAGGUCUAUGGGGACCUGGCGGCAUAGGGAAGACGACGAUUGCUAAGGCCCUAUGUAAUGCUAUUGGGUGGCAAUUUCAAGGUAGUAGUUUUUUGGCACAAGUUAGAGAAAAAUCAAACCAAAGCGGUGGUCAUGUUGAUUUGCAAAGACAACUUCUAUCUGAGAUCUUAGCUGAUAAAGAAUUAACGGUCUACAGUGUCCACGGAGGAAUUAGUUUGAUACGGGAAAGACUAUGUUGCAAGAAGGUUCUCCUGGUUCUUGAUGAUGUUGACAAGAUGGAUCAACUUGAUGCCUUAGCUGGAAGAGGUGAUUGGUUUGGCAAAGGAAGUAGAAUCAUUGUUACAUCAAGAGAUAAACAUUUACUAACUUCUCAUGACAAAAAUUAUGUGUAUGAAGUUAAAACUUUAAAAGAUGACAAAGCAGAAGACCUUUUCAGUCAGCAUGCCUUUUCAAAUAGCAAUAAAGUAGAAAUAAGAAGGGAUCUCAUUGAUGGAGCACUACAUUAUGCUGGCCGCCUUCCAUUAGCCCUGGAAGUGUUGGGCUCAUUCUUACGUGGAAGAAAGGAACCUGCAUGGGAAAGUACGUUGCUUAAACUGUCCAAAACUCCUGAAUCAACUAUCAAUCGAGUUCUCAAGAUAAGCUUCGAUGGAUUGGAUGACAAUGAGAGGGACAUUUUCCUCGAUAUUGCUUGUUUCUUUAAGGGGAAAAAUAUAGAGUACAUCAAGGAAGUUCUUGACAGCUGUGAUUUUGACACAACCAUAGGAAUAGAAAUUCUCAUCGAAAGAUCCUUGAUAAAAAACCAGCAUGGGACCCUGCAAAUGCAUGAUUUGAUUCAAUCGAUGGGUCAGGAUAUUGUUAACGAAGCCUGUCGCGAUGAUUGUGGGAAACGCAGUAGAUUAUGGCUUUUGGAAGAUGUUCGGGAAAUUUUUUGUCAUAAUAAGGUAAAAGUUGUUUAUGUCAGUUUUGCUGCAUUUCAGUUUACAUUACUCUAAUUCGGAUGGUAUAAUGUAAAUCUUAACUGGAAAUUUUGUCUGACAGCUGAAUUUACUCUAUUGUGGAUAGGGGACGAAUGCAGUAAAGGCCAUAGUAUUGAACUGGGCCCCACCAGAAGCAGUAGUCAUCCAUCCUGAUGCUUUCACAAAUAUGAAUAAGCUGAGAAUAUUCAUUUUGCAUGGCGUGCAUAUCUCUUCACAAGCUCAACUACGUCUCCCUAAUGACCUGAGAUGGAUUGAAUGGCCUAAUGCCCCGACUCUAGAAUUUGGCUCUGGUCUAAAUAAACUCAGGAGACUCGAUAUCCCGAAAAGUCAUAUCAAACAAUUAGGGGGCAACUCUUAGGUAAGCCCUUGUGAUGAUUAGCUUUUCCUUUUUAUAGCUAUAAAAAAACAUUCGCAGAGCUUAAUGACCGCAUUAGUAUGUUUUUGCAGAAUUUUAGAAAGCUGAAGUCCAUCAAUUUCAGUAAAUGCCAGUCCCUGGUUAGUAUUCACGACCUGUCAUGGGCUCCAAAUGUGGAGAAAUUAAUUCUUAAUGGGUGUGAGAGGUUGGUGGAGGUUCACCCAUCUGUUGGAGAUCUUGUCAAGCUGGAAGUUUUGUCGCUAGGAGGGUGCUUUAAUCUUAGAAAUUUUCCUAACACGCUGAAGACUAAAUCUCUCCAUACCCUUGAGCUCUUUGGUUGCUCUAAACUUGAGAAGUUCCCAGAUAUAGACGGAAAGAUGGAACAUUUGGAAGUACUUCCUCUAUAUAAUACGGCUAUUAAAGAACUCCCUGCAUCAAUUGAAAAUCUUGUCUCUGUGAGGCAGAUAGAUUUAUCAUUUUGCAAAAACCUCAUGAGGCUUCCGUCGCACAUUUAUAAGUUGAAAAAUCUUGAGUCUUUCUGUCUUCAUGGCUGCUCGAAUUUAAUCACGUUUCCAAAAAACAUGGAGGAUUCAACUAAUCCUGAUGGCCAUCUGGGAUUCCGAAAACUAAACCAUCUACUACUUGUGGGGUGCAAUCUAUUGGAAGUAGAGUUCCUUGAGAGUUUUUCCAGUUUUCCUGCAUUGGGGUGCCUAGACCUUCAAUAUAACAAGUUUGCUCAUAUGCCGACAUGCAUCAACAAGUACUAUUGUUUGCACACAUUGAAUGUUAAGGGAUGCGAGCUACUACAAGAGAUUCCUCAGCUUCCACCAAAUAUCAAUCAUCUAUCAGCAGGUUAUUGCAAAUCUCUGCAAAAACUCCCAGAUACAGGGGGUCUCUCCUGCCGCAAUCUUCAGGUUGACUUGACUUCAUGUUGUGAAUUAUUACGCAAUGGGGUCAAUAUGGAUGAUGUGGCUAAUAUGUCAUUACUCGAGGUCUCUCUCUCUCUCUCUCUCUCUCUCUCUCUCUCUCUCUAAUCAAAUGCUUGACAUGCGUCUAUCCGUGUGACAGAAACUGCCAAAGAUGAAAGAUGCCAUCGACAUUGUCCUAAUUGGAAGAGAGAUGCUAAAUGGAUUCUCCCUGUGAAGAGGAUUCCAUAUCUUUCAAAGUUCCUCAGGACUUGUAUAACCACUUCAAAGGACUAGCAUUCUGUGUUGUUCUCAGCCCGGAGGAAGGAAAAGUGGUCAAUAAUUCAUGUAAUUACACAAUACUUGUUGAUGGCCAAUUUGAAAGAGAGGGCACGAGAUAUGUUUCUGGGAUGGAAUCUGACCAUGUGUGGCUUAGUUAUAAGUCACUGAAGUUAGAGCAGCACCUACAAAAUGCUUGGAGUCAUUUCCAAGUUCGCCUCAGAGCAGAAAAGGGAAGCAUAAAGAAGUGUGGAUUCCGUCUAAUAUUUGACUAAAAGGAGGAUGAUCUGAGGGUGGUGUUCCUAGCACCAUCAGCUGAUAGAAACAAAGUGCAGUUUUUUGGGGCAGACUUAGAAGAAGAUAAUUCAAUAGACACAGAGGAAGAAGACACUCCAAUUGAAACAGAUGUAGAGGAAAGCUCAUCUCCUUUAACAAAGAAGAUGAGACGGUCUUAACUACGGUGAGACUAUGGGUUCCAAUGUCUUUGCUUUCCCUUUUCCGGGCCUCCACUAGAGAUUGGUGAGUGUCUGCUUCUUCAAUUAGAAUUCAAGAUCAUUAUAAACAGAGGUUUCGCACCACGCGACUGACAUGAUUGAGGAUCAUUUUUUGGUUUUUUGUUCUUUUUUGCCUGUUUGUUUAUGAUUUGUGAUGCAGAGCGCAUUAACCCAAAAAUUAAGAGGAUGCUUUUUGAAUGCCCAUGGUCUUUCAAGUCGCUCCAUGUAAUUUAUCACAUCGGCCUCUGUCACCUCUCUUAAUCCAAUUAAUGAUGCCUAUACUUCGUGCUUUAAAAUUCUGAUAGACUGAGUUGUGCUCAAUCUAGUAUAAUCAAUAAUACCUUUAGGAAAGUGUUGUUCGAAUUGUCUCAAAGAUCAAAAAGUCUAUACAAGGAAAAUUAGUUGAUUCCUCUGUUAUUACUCGGCAGAUUGCAUUGGAUAGGUACUAAGGGUGAGCUUUAGCUUUGAGACUUUGCAUUUAGGCAAAGGACAUUGAUUCGAAGAAUGUUUAUGAUAAGCAAAUAGCGCCUUAGUAAAUGCAUUGUAAAAUACUUAUUGCAAAGUAUUUCACAAAUAACAGAAUAAAUAUGUCAAAAGGAGAAUGGAGAAAUUUGCGAUUGUAGAUAAAAACCCAAUCCUGGGGCACAACAAUAGCACCGGUACCGACGUCUUGUGACCCUAAGUGACGUGCUGCCAAGGCCACAUGAGCCCACGUAAUCUGCCGGUGUCGCAUGAUUCUAGGUAGCGCAAUGCAGAAUCCGCAUGACUAGGCAACUCGACGCCUGACUCUCUUUAAGCUACAUUUAGCAACGAGUGACCCUUGGCGAGUUAGAAUUGGCGUCAAGCGAAACUCGACAAAGUUUGCCGACGUCUGCUCACCCUUGGUGGGGUUGUGCCGGCAUCCCUCGACCUCCUCCACGAAGCUUCUCAGCCACGAUCGACCACGACCUCUAUCCAAGAUUGGGAGGAGGGAGGGCAAAAUAGGAAUACUACUAUAUCAAUGAUACCAAGAUUGGAAAAAUAAGACUGUAUUAAACUUCUGAAGUUGCAUUUCGGAAAUACCAGAGCUCAAAGCUGGAGUUCGUCUUGAGCCUUGAGCAUUUUCAAAGCAAAAUUUUACACCAAAAAAAUUUGAACCUGUGUUACCGAACCCCAAAACUUUGGUAUAAAGACCUUUAAAAGUCCAUGUUGACACCUAAAAUUUGGCAUCCCCAUCAUCCAUUUAUUGCAUAUAAAAUUAUGGAUUAAUUUUUAACCCCUAAAACAAAAAAUAGAAUUAAAAUUGCAUAACAUAUACUUUUAAGUGGCAUUAUUAUUUAUUUAUCACGUUUGCAUUUGAUUGGCGACGUAAGAAUUUUAAUUUUGCAAGUUAGCGACUCGAUAUUUUCAUAAAGGAUUUGUAUUAUUUUUCCAAUAUUCAAUAAAUCCUUCAUGUAUUCACGUGAUAUAUACAUUGAGCGAUAUAUUUCACUGAAGAAUGGAUUUUUAAGGAUGAUAUAUCAAGAGGGAAUAUUGCACGUGGAGCAUGUAUUGAAUGAUAUAUUUUUUGUCUCAAAACAAGAAAGAUUACAUGUUCAGGGGGAUUUCGUGCGAGAGCCAAAAAUAAAAGGACAAAAUAUUUUAAGAAUCCAAUAUAGGGGAUAAAAUUUGCUCGGCUCGAGCCCUUUCUCUAUAAAAGGGACUCAUUACACGACAAGGAGGAGAGGGGGGGUCACAAUUUUGAGAGAGUAAAUUUGUUCACGAGAAAGGAGACGAUUUUAAUGUGUGCAGGAAGAGAGAGGAUUUUCAUUGCGUGGAGAGGGAAAGAGAAAAGAAGGGGCGGAUGCGGAAACCUUCACUUCCCAUCUACUUCUUCACGGGCGCAACAGAUACAGAGGACGCACGCUGACAAGAAGACCAGCUCUUGCCACGUCUCUUGUCACGCAUGUCCUCCUUGGUUUUUGAUUCCCGGUGAGCGCAGCAAAUUCUCGAACCAAUCGAGGCCCAUCAUUUUUUCGAAGAUUCGUCUCCAGUUUUGUUGCUGCCGCUGACCACCGCUUGGAACUCCCUUCGCUAUCGCGACCUCCGUUCGCUGCUGUUACUCCUUCGACGAACUGCUGCCCCUACGUGACCGAGCUGCUAUCCCUGUGACGUACCUGCUACCUGCCGGAGCCCUGGCGAGCUCGCUGCCUCGACGUAACGAAAGGCAUUUGCAAGUCGCUGUCCCCGACGUGAGCCGCUACUGUGUUGCCUAUCAAGCCAAGCAUCACCUAGACUGCCAAGUGUCCAUUGAGAAUCGUGAGUCGCCGUUCGAAGAUCCACAUUUAGAAGCCAAUAUCCGAAUUAGGCAAAAAUCUUAUCUAAUUUGAUUUCUGAAUUUUUGGUUUUCUUAUUUGAAAUAUUGUUCAUGCACAUAAUUAAAAUUUCCAACAUGUUAUCAUGUCCGCAAUAUGGAAUAGCCUUUUAAAUUAGGGACUAUUUUCUAAUUUCAGAACAUGCAUAUGAUUAACAGUCCGAUUUCAUGUCCGAAAGAUGACUCACAAUCGCAUGAAAAAUUACAAAUCCGAUCUCACGUCCAAAAUAUGAUUAAUAAUUUUGUUAAAAAUUGGCCAAUCUGAUCUCAUGCGCGAGAUACGAUUUGUCAAAAAAAUUAGAUGGGUAUCGAUCAUAUCUUGCUUGAUUUGCCAUCGUGCUUUUAUGCAUUUGCUUGAAUUGAUUUUGUUUCUGUAAAAGAAAACCCAAAAAAUAAUAAAUAUUUGAAGUUUGAUUAAGUUCAUGUUAGAAUAUCGCAUGUUUUAGGAUGGUUUGCAUCUUUAGAUUGGGAAAUUUAUUUAUUUCAAAUUUUUGAAAUAAAAAAUACCAAAAACAUUAAUUUAGGAUGCUAAAUUUUCUUUUCAUUACUUUAAAUAGCAUGUUUAAUUGUUGGGCAAUUUUAAUUUCGAAUUUUAUAAAAAAGAAAAAUAAAACAUAAAAAGUAUUGUGCGUGUGUAACAUAGAAUUAGGUCAUUCUUAAAUGUGUGAUAUAUUAGGAUAGUUUCAUUUAAUAUUCAUUGUCAUUAAAUUAGUUUAUUUAAUUAAUAUUGCGUGACAUAUAGUUUACACAUAUUCUUGUAAAUCAUUGCAUUGCAUUGCACGUAGAUUAUGUUUCGUUAAAUAAGAGAAAAUCGUAAAAAAGACUGAGCGAUUGCAUGUUAAUUAGAAUCAUAUCUAUCUAGGACUGUCGAUGUGAAUUUUUAGUUAACAUUGUAGAUACUUUCGUUGCUAGGAGGUAAGUCUUGUAAUUUAUUUGUUAUUUUAUUGGGGGUUAAAUUGGUAGAUUGUGCACCCGCAUGGUCAGUUCACAUGUUAGGGAGUAAUAAAAUGAAUUCAAGCCACCUAAUAAAAAAAAAUUUCUAUGAAAAGAACGGCACCGGAAGGGUAUUAGAGAAAUUUAGUGUAACCAAGUCUCUAUUCUAAAAUAAUUCUCUCGUUAUUUUACUUAGAUAUCUAAUCAACUUACCCUAAACUAAUUAGUGGCGACUCCUAGAUAAUGGUCUAUAGAGGAAAAAUUCUGAGAUAGUAAGUUUUGCUCAAUCUAGUAUAAUCUAUAUCUUUAGGAAAGUGUUGUUCGAAUUGUCUCAAAAAUCAAAGGUCUAUGGAGGAAAAAUUAGUCAUUCCUCUGUUUUUACNNNNNNNNNNNNNNNNNNNNNNNNNNNNNNNNNNNNNNNNNNNNNNNNNNNNNNNNNNNNNNNNNNNNNNNNNNNNNNNNNNNNNNNNNNNNNNNNNNNNNNNNNNNNNNNNNNNNNNNNNNNNNNNNNNNNNNNNNNNNNNNNNNNNNNNNNNNNNNNNNNNNNNNNNNNNNNNNNNNNNNNNNNNNNNNNNNNNNNNNNNNNNNNNNNNNNNNNNNNNNNNNNNNNNNNNNNNNNNNNNNNNNNNNNNNNNNNNNNNNNNNNNNNNNNNNNNNNNNNNNNNNNNNNNNNNNNNNNNNNNNNNNNNNNNNNNNNNNNNNNNNNNNNNNNNNNNNNNNNNNNNNNNNNNNNNNNNNNNNNNNNNNNNNNNNNNNNNNNNNNNNNNNNNNNNNNNNNNNNNNNNNNNNNNNNNNNNNNNNNNNNNNNNNNNNNNNNNNNNNNNNNNNNNNNNNNNNNNNNNNNNNNNNNNNNNNNNNNNNNNNNNNNNNNNNNNNNNNNNNNNNNNNNNNNNNNNNNNNNNNNNNNNNNNNNNNNNNNNNNNNNNNNNNNNNNNNNNNNNNNNNNNNNNNNNNNNNNNNNNNNNNNNNNNNNNNNNNNNNNNNNNNNNNNNNNNNNNNNNNNNNNNNNNNNNNNNNNNNNNNNNNNNNNNNNNNNNNNCAUAAUGCGCUGAACCGAUCUAGGCGGCAUAUGCCGAAUCCCACAAGAGUAGGCACUCGACGCCCGACUUCUCUGGUGCUAAAUCUAGCAAAUGAGUGACCCUUGCCGAAGUUAGAGUUGGUUGUCGAAGCAACCUUCGGCAAAACUUGGCUGACGUCUGCCAAACCUCUCGGUGAAGUUUGUGCUGGCGUCCCUUGACCUCCUCCGGGAAAGCUUCCUAGCCACGAUGGACCAUGGCUUUCUUUCUGUCUAUCCAAGAUUGUUUUUUCUUUUUUUUUUGGGGGGGGGGGGGUUGGAAGAUGUAAAAUAGGAAUACUACUAUAUCAGUGAUAUCAAGAUUAGAAGAACAAAACUAUAUUAAACCUCUGAACGUGCAUUCCGAAAAUACUAGAGCUCAAAGCUGGAGUUUGUCUUGAGCUUUGAGCAAUUUCAAAGAAAAAAUUUACACACAAAAAAUUUGAAACCACGUUACCAGACGCCAAAACUUCAGCUUAAAGACUUUUAAAGGUCCAAAGCUCCUCGUAAAUGCUCUCCCAAAGACACUUGAUUAUCUUGGCUCAGUCAGAGCAAAAGUGUAAUUUUAUGAGUGCCCACUUUAUCGGCUCAGUACUUGGGCCUCCUAUGUCGGCCCCUUCCCAACAAAUCACCACUGUCGAUCAUGCCUUGGCCGUCUCAUCAUGUACUUUCAUCCCCACCCAUCGACUCAUCUCUCUGUCCAGCGCCAUUGCAUCUCCCCAUCCCUGGGCCCACUACAAAAUCUAUCCAAAAAAGAAAAUUAGCUCUUAAAUUAUAUGAAAAUCUCCAUUUUUAUUUUUAUUUUUAUUUUUGCCACUGCAAAACAAUUGAAUUCCAAGACAAACAACAAUCAGGUUAACUGUUCACUUUCCUCUCCAUUUGGGCGAUUCAGGCACUAUUCACUCCAGCUGGCUUUUUGCGGAUUCUGGUUGAUUCCGCUGGUAUCUGGAGUUGAUUUUCGUGGGCUAGGUCAUUUGGGGACCGCCUACAAACCCCAAGUAAGCUUGGCUUGGUUGGUUUUCGUUUAUCAAGAUGGGAGCUCUCGAUCAGAAUUUCUGGUGCGCCUAGCUUUUCCCGAUUCUGGUCUCUGUCUUCGUGGGUGGCUUUGACUGGUUGGUGUGUUGAUUGUUGGCGGAUUUCCUUGUCCCUGAAGGCCCUUAAGCCCCUACGAACACUUGUUGGGCCGUCCAAAUGAGGAGUCCCAAGUGGGCUCUAGGCGUGGUAGGAGCCGCCUUAGAUCUGCUUCUCGUGGCCCUAGAGUGGCUCGUCCUGCUGGACAAAAAUGGAGUGAGCAGAAAGCCCCUCCAACCCGUUCAUGGGUUAAUGUUGCUAGGCUCUCAGCAAAGGGAUAUGAACUUAGCUUCGUGCCUCCAACUUUUGUUGGAAAAAGAGGAGUGGUGCACCUCUCUGAGGAAGUGGUGCAUCUGGCAGAUCUGAAAUGGAAUCAUUGUUUGAUGGGGUAUUUCAUUGGCAAGAAAGUGCCUUUCAAAAUGACUGAGUCAGUCCUUAAGGAGACGUGGGGCUCCCAUUUAACUGAAAUGCUUGCUGAUGAUGAAGGAUUUUAUUUCUUCUUUAUUCCCGACCUUGAUUACUGCAGGAAGAUUCUUGAGGAAGGUCCAUUGACGGUGAAUAAAGUGCCACUUAUUCUGAAACAAUGGGAUCCCACUCUUGAGCUGAGGAAGGACUUGCAAUCCUUUGUGCCCGUUUGGAUCCGUAUGAAAAACAUACCUUUUGCUUAUUGGUUUGCUCUUGGGAUAAGCCAGAUAGCGAGUGCGGUCGGUAGACCCUUAUAUGUGGACCCAUUGACUGAAAAAAUGAAACGUUUGUCUUUUGCAAGAGUAUGUGUCAAAGUGUUGGCUAAGUUAGAGAAAUGUGAAUCUGUGAAGGUAUUUCUGAAUGGGGAGUCCUUCAUUGUUCCUAUCUUAUACGAAUGGAUACCCAUUGCGUGUCCAAAAUGCCAUGUCUUUGGCCAUAACUGUGAGGAGAAAGAAGUUCCGGCACCCGUAGCAGAUAAGUCCCAUGAUGCUGUUGCUGAGGAAGCUCGAGAUGCUGCUGUGCCUACGGUGCCCCCCUCGAUUCCUCCUGCCUAGCCUCUUAAGGUGUCUUAUGCUGACCAGCAGGAUGGCUAGAAGCAGGUAACUCGGAAGAAGACGCAACCGUUGGGAUCUAAUGGGAAGGACUCUUCGACUCCUAUCUCUUCUUUGAAGUUUAUGGAUAAAUCAGAUUCUUCUCAAGCUUUAAGCAAGUCUGCCCAGAAAAAUAAAGGUGCUUUGAUUCCUAGCUCUUCUGGACCUCCUUGCACGAUGGUUCCUGUUGAGCCAAUCCCAGAAUCUGCUUAUAUUGGGUCUGGCUCUACUGCUGAAGAAUAUGAGGAUGCGGCUAGUGCGGUAAGUAGCAGCUCAGAUGAGGAACUCGAUGGUCCUAGUGAAUUGGUUACAAAUGUUAAGCAUUAUGUUGUUUUUUAGGAAGCCCCUGCUAAAAGGAACUCGCCCAAGACUCCGUCUGUCCCAAAGUUGGCCGCCCCUCCUAUCCCAGCAUUGGCUCCUCCUCCUAACCCUCCUCAAGGCACUAGCCGAAGGAGAUCACGUCGUUAACUUCUAUUCUCAUCGUAAUACAUUAUAUAGUUAUAUAUAGCUAUGUAUAUUGGAGUUUGGAAUAUUAGGAGACUUGGUAACCAUCUCAAGCAAGCUGAAAUUAGAAAAUUUGUUAGAUCUCAUAAUCUAUGUUGUGUUGGUAUUGUGGAAACAAAGAUUUCCCAGGGUGCCUUUAGUGCGAUCUCUGCUGUUUUGUUGCCGGGCUGGAAGUGGGAAAAUAAUUAUAAUCAUUCCUCAAAAGGAAGAAUUUGGGUGGGGUGGAACCCCCGUGAAGUCUUAUUUGUUACGAACUCUUCUUCGAAUCAAGCUAUUCAUGGAAAGUUACCUUGCUUAAAUUCUGGUAAGGUUCUUUUCGUUACGGUGGUCUAUACUGAGCAUAGUUUUGUGGCUAGACGUCCUCUUUGGGCUGACAUUAUUCAGACUAGCUCUCUCCUUUUGGAUUUCCCUUGGAUACUAGCAGGAGACUUUAAUGCAAUUCGUGACCCUUCGGAUAGAUUGGGUAGUUCUAAUGGUUGGAUCCUAGUUUUUGAUGAGUUGCGUGAGUGCCUCAUUCAAACUGGUCUUGACGAUCUCAGGUAUACCAGGAAUAGAUUUACUUGGGCUACUUCCAUGGGUGCCAACCGUAAGCAAAGAAAGAUUGAUCGUGUUCUUGUUAAUUCUUGUUGGACAGCUGAAUUUUCUUUUUCUGAGGCCUCUUUCUUGGCCCUUGGCAUUUUAGAUCAUUCUCUAAUGAUUAUUAAGAUUAUGCCUGCCCCUAAGUCUCGCAAGCCUUUCAAGUUCUUCAAUUUCUGGUUUUCUCAUCCGGAUUUUACUGAUGUGGUUUCGCAAGCUUGGAGUUCUCCCUUUGUGGGUUCUCCAAUGUUUAUUCUUUGCUCCAGGCUUCGGCUUCUCAAAUGUAAGUUGAAACAAAUCAACAAGGAGUCCUUCUCGGACUUGUCCUCUAGAACGGCUGAAGCAAGACGUGCAUUGCUCUAAACCCAAGAUGCUCUUAAGAAUGACUAUUCGAAUAUUCAACUUGCUGAAUUGGAAAAACAACAGCUCCAAUCCUUCUUGGAUUUGCGCCUUCAAGAGGAAUCAUUUUAUAGACAAAAGUCUCGGGUGCGGUGGUUGAAAGAAGGUGAUCUUAAUACUAAAUUUUUCCAUAACUCGGUAAACAAGAGACAACUUCACAAUAGAAUUAUCUCGCUCUCCGAUGGGAUCGUUUCUACCUCAAAUCCCUCUGAAGUUCAAAACCUGUUUGUUGACCACUUCCAGGAGUUAUUGGCCUUCUCUCCCCCUACUGCGAGGCCUUCGGUGGAGGAGAUGCGUGCGGUGUUGAGGCACACCCUUGAUGCGGAUCAGGUACGUUUUAUUUCUAGCCCCAUCUCGGAGACUGAAAUUAAAGAUACUCUAUUCUCUCUUGUGGUGGGUAAGACCCCUAGCCCUGAUGGAUACAAUGUGGAAUUUUUUAAACAUUCUUGGGAGAUUGUUGGACCUUCUGUUAUUCUGGCAGUGAAAGAUUUCUUUGAGACGGGCAUGUUGUUGCGGGAAAUUAACACAACUAUUUUGGCCCUGGUCCCCAAAGUCCCGAAUGCUUCCAAUGUGAAUGAUUUUCAGCCAAUUGCUUGCUGUAACACAUUAUACAAGUGUAUUACCAAGCUUAUUGCUAAUUGGCUCUCUCGGGUGCUACCUUCUAUCAUUGGUCUGCCCUAAAAUGCCUUUGUAAAAGGUAGACACAUCAGUGACAAUAUUUUACUUGCUCAGGAGCUGUUUUGUGGUUUUCACAAUGAUCCUUACCGGCCUAAAUGUGUUAUUAAAGUUGAUUUUAGGAAGGCCUACGAUACGGUGGAUUGGAGGUUUAUUGAAUUGUGUCUGCAGGCUUUCGGUUUCCCCCAGGAGUUCAUUGCCCGGGUUAUGAUUUGUAUUCGUACCCCCAAGUUCUCGGUUGCAAUUAAUGGGGAACUCCAUGGGUUCUUUUCAAGUGGGAGGGGUAUCAUUAGGGUGAUCCCAUGUCGCCGUAUAUUUUUACUUUUGUGAUGGAAGUCUUUACAGGUAUUCUGGACAUUCAAACUUCACAUUCGGACUUUGGUUUUUUCUGGCAUUGCAAGCCCACCAGACUUUCUCAUCUUUUCUUUGCUGAUGAUGUACUACUCUUCGUUGAAGCUAACUUACCGUCUAUUGAUCUUCUCAAGAAUGGUAUCGAGAAAUUUUCUAGCUAGAGUGGGCUGAUUCUGAAUCUUCGGAAGAGUGAAGUUUUCCUUUCUGGAGGCUCCUCUAACCUUCAUGAGGAUAUCCUCAAUAAGCUGGGCUAUUAGUUGGGCACAUUUCCUUUCCGCUAUCUAGGAGUACCGGUUAUUUCAGCUAGAUUGGGAAAAGCUAACUGCGUCUCCUUGGUUAAUUCAAUCACGGCUUGUGUUUAGUCUUGGACCAAUAGAUUCCUCUCCUUUGCGGGGGCGUCUUCAACUUAUAAGGUCGGUGCUUCAUUCUAUACAAGUCUUUUGGGCUAAUGUGUUCUUUCUGCCAUGUUCGGUUCUAAACUGAAUUAAGCACAUUUUCCGCCAAUUCUCUUGGAGAGGCCCUCAGAUGGGUGCAAGUGGUGCUAAAGUCUCGUGGUGUAAUGUUUGCCUUCCCAAAAAUGAAGGGGGCUUAGGUAUUCGUACUCUAGGGGAGAACAACAUUGCGUCCAUGCUCAAACAUAUUUGGAUUCUUUUCUCCGAUAAGGAAUCCCUGUGGUGUAAGUGGAUUCAUUCCAAUUUCUUACAACAGAAAAUUUUUUGGGUGGUCCCUUGCCCUACUCAUUGCUCUUGGCCCUGGAGGAAGUUAUUAGAUUUUCGUGAUCAAUUUUAGCAAUAUUUCAGAUGGAGCAUUGGAAAUGGGAGGUCGGUCUCCUUUUAGUUCGACCCUUAGCACCCAAAUGGUCCUUUGUACAAGAUCUUUUCUAAUCAGGAUAUUUAUCGCUCGGGUAUAUCUCGCUCUGCUUCGGUUGCUGAUGGUUUUGCUACUUCUAUGGGCUGGUAUAUCAUUAACAUCAUGGCUAAUUGGUGGAAUCCCCUUCCGGUAUUCAACCAAGAGGAGGAUCGUUUUCAGUGGCUUCCGCACCCAUCCGGUCGCUUCUCCAUUGCUUCUGCUUGGGAUUUGAUCCGACCGAAGCGUAAUGUCAUCUUGUGGGCUUCUUUUGUUUGGAAUAUUGCGUUGCCUCCAAGAUAUCAAACGCAUCUUUGGCUUAUUUCGCGCAAUCGGCUGCCGACUUAGGUUUUGCUCAUCUCUUAUGGUAGGAUCCCCCCUACAAAUUGCCCCCUUUGUUCAUGUAGACCUGAUUCUAUAGAUCAUUUGUUCUUUGCUUGCCGUCCUUCAGAUAGUCUUAUUUCAUUUUGGGCAGCAAGAUUCAACCUAGUGUGGUGAAACAAGCUUUGGGCGGAUAAUUUGGCCUGGGCUUCCAAGCGGUUUAUGGGGAAGAGUUUUUAUCAGAUCUUGGCUCGGUUUAGUUUUGGUGCAAUGUGUUAUAUCAUUUGUAAAGAGCAGAACAAUGUGCUUUUUCGGAAUCAGACUCUCUUUCUUCCAAUGAUGAAAAUGCAUCUUCAGAAGGCUAUCAAAGAUAAGGCUAUGACCUUUAAACAUGUUCUUGAUGUGCCCAUGAAUAGAAGACUUCAACGAAGCUGGAACAUCCAUCCUUCUAUUUUUGAUUGAUGGAGGUUUUCUAGUUUUUGUUGUCUUUUGUUUCCUUUUGUUGUUGUUGCUCCUUUUUUCUGGUAACCAUGGCACCCUUACACUCGUUCUAGACUUUUGUCUUCUUGAGUGUCUGUUUUUGUUGGUGCCGGACCUCCCUCUUGUAUUCUUUCUUGCAAAAUCAAUAUAUUACUUACCUUUACAAAAAAAAAAAAAAAACAAAAAAAAAACAAUUGAAAUAAAGCAGGCUGAGUAAAUCACGCAUUCCCAAGAUCACGAGCGUGCCAUAUUGCAUAGAAUAGUACCAAUAUUAUAGCACAAAAAACUAAAGUUUAAAUUAAGUGAAAAUCUAAUCCAAACAUACAAUGUAAAUGACACAAUCCAAAAAUGCUCGGGAUAUUAUUGUGUAUGAAGAUCCAAUGACUUGUAUAGAUUUCAACAUCCAAAUUCCAAUAGGAUUAUGUUAUAGAAUAUGUUUUCAUUAGUUGAUUUAUUCACCUAGGAGUAGGGACCCCCAAAAAAAAAAGGAUUUAGGUACGUUUGUUUUAAUUAUAUGAGGUUUCUUACUAGUAAAAAAAUUCCUAAAUUACCAAUUAGUGUCCCUUUGCAAUUGUAGCUCCAAAUAUUUUUCUCCUCUUUCCUUUCCUUUUAGUGGAUUUUUUUUUUAUAGUUUUGUAUUGCAGUGUGACUUAUUAGGGUGGUGAUUUAUUACAGAAGAAUGAGUCAUUUCAUUCAUCGUUUAUAAAAUAAAUUCCCAUUGAGUUAUCCACCUUACCAAGAUUAGACUUCAGGAACUCAACCCCCAACUCUUCUCUUGAUGAUGCGAUAGUUACUUACUAGUGGAAUGGAGGUUAGGAGAUCACUCGACAAAUUGUGAGCCAUUGAUUUCAACAUUCGGAUGAAAAACGGCAAAUAGAUAAAGAAAAAGAUCAAAUAAUUUCCUUUUUUGUAUCACUUUCGAAUCAAUACUUAACUUUUAUUUGAGGAAAUCAUAUAAAAAAAUAACAACGACUGCAGAAAAUCUAUGCGAGAAUUAAUUGUAAGGAGGUAACGUGGCAAAAAAAAAAGUCCAUCUAUUACUUAAAUUUCUAUAUACUCGUCAAUUUAAUAAAAGAAAAAUGUCAAAGUUAGAGUAGUCUUGAUUUCGAAUCUUGCAUAAAUGACAGCCACAUCCAUGACUUCUAGCAUUCUCGAUUAUGUCGGGAUGGCCCAGGAUUUGUUCUAGACAAUGAAGGAAAAAGGCAUUGCCAUAUUUUCACUUUGGGUUUUGCCAUUAGCUCGCUUGCCGUUUAGUUUUUAGUAUGUAACCCUCUUAGUUUGAUUUGUUUUUUUUCAUUGGUAAUAAUCAAAUUUUUUCAUUAGAUUUGACAAGCUCAAUUCUCAAAAUUUUGUUCUGAAAUCGAUCUUUGACAAGUGCAAGCAAAUUAUCACAAUGAUCCGACAAUGGAGCAUGGAUGAUACCUACUGGAAAUGAGGGGGCUUAUAACAUACGGANNNNNNNNNNNNNNNNNNNNNNNNNNNNNNNNNNNNNNNNNNNNNNNNNNNNNNNNNNNNNNNNNNNNNNNNNNNNNNNNNNNNNNNNNNNNNNNNNNNNNNNNNNNNNNNNNNNNNNNNNNNNNNNNNNNNNNNNNNNNNNNNNNNNNNNNNNNNNNNNNNNNNNNNNNNNNNNNNNNNNNNNNNNNNNNNNNNNNNNNNNNNNNNNNNNNNNNNNNNNNNNNNNNNNNNNNNNNNNNNNNNNNNNNNNNNNNNNNNNNNNNNNNNNNNNNNNNNNNNNNNNNNNNNNNNNNNNNNNNNNNNNNNNNNNNNNNNNNNNNNNNNNNNNNNNNNNNNNNNNNNNNNNNNNNNNNNNNNNNNNNNNNNNNNNNNNNNNNNNNNNNNNNNNNNNNNNNNNNNNNNNNNNNNNNNNNNNNNNNNNNNNNNNNNNNNNNNNNNNNNNNNNNNNNNNNNNNNNNNNNNNNNNNNNNNNNNNNNNNNNNNNNNNNNNNNNNNNNNNNNNNNNNNNNNNNNNNNNNNNNNNNNNNNNNNNNNNNNNNNNNNNNNNNNNNNNNNNNNNNNNNNNNNNNNNNNNNNNNNNNNNNNNNNNNNNNNNNNNNNNNNNNNNNNNNNNNNNNNNNNNNNNNNNNNNNNNNNNNNNAUCGAUAUCAGAGCGUCAUUUCAACCCAGUUUGUUUCAUAUAUGUAGCUCUCCAUAUAAUGGUGGCCGACACAAGACAAUCAUAAUUAAGCUACUCCUUCGACAAGGGCAUGAUUAUGGAAUGCCACAUGAGACAAAAGCAACUUUAACCCUGCUAUGGUAUUAAGAUGACAAUAAUAAUAAUAAUAAUAAUAAUAAUAAUAAUAAUAAUAAUAAUAAUAAUAAUAAUAAUAAUAAUAAUAAUAAUAAUAAUAAUAAUAAUAAUAAUAAUAAUAAUAAUAAUAAUAAUAAUAAUAAUAAUAAUAAUAAUAAUAAUAAUAAUAAUAAUAAUAAUAAUAAUAAUAAUAAUAAUAAUAAUAAUAAUAAUAAUAAUAAUAAUAAUAAUAAUAAUAAUAAUAAUAACACAUAAUGUUGAUUCAGUUUUUGUAAGUCUAAAGUCCAAGCUUAGGUCGAAGUAUGUAAGGAAUGACAAGGUUCAUUUUUUUUUUUUUUUAACUAUGGCGAUCUUUAUAAUAAAAAUGAAAUAAAAUGUAAUUUUUAAUCUUCAAGGAGUUGAUUGAGUAUGUGAGAGAUUUAUUUAUAAGACAGAUCCUGUAUUUAGUUGUAUACUAAGAAUAACUCUAAGGGGUCAUGCUCACGAUUGGCCCAUUGAUGGAGUCUUAUUGCAUGUGAUCGAGACAAUCAUAGGGUUUUAGUCAAGUAAAGAUUCGCAUCCGUUGUUACAAUUUAUUUUUACCACAUACCUAAUUUUAAUAAUUACAAAAAUUACUCUAUAAGUAUGCCAAUAUCAAUUGAUACUUAUCAAUUUUUUGGUUUAUGGGGAAAUUCUUUGAGCUAAAAAGGGGUAAAACAAUAUCUGAUGGACUAGCUAGAUGUAGACGGAAUACAGAAGUGCGGUGAACAAAUGGGUUAAAGGAGAACACCUAAGAACAAGAAGCUGCAGUACAAAUCCAAUAGAAUUGUCCAACCUCGCUAAACAUUCGGAAUGUGUAAACCGUAUUGACUUUGCACGUUAUAUCACCAUAACUCGUAAUAUCAUAAAUUAAUUUUACCGAUGUAUCAUAAUAAUAUUGUACUUUUAAUUACAACGAGAUGUUGUAACAUUAUAUUAUACAUUUGAAGUAGUAUAGAAGUGACUCUAACUUACGAGUUUGUUAUUGAAUAAGAAUGAUACGUUGAAAAAUAAUAAGUUUUCUAGUUUUAUGUCAAUCGGAAAAAAAAAGGAGGGUUUUUCAAUUUACGGCACAGAUAAGCUUAUGGGAACCAAAAUCGAGUUUAUGUAAAACUUAAACAUGAGUGGUCGAUUAAAAAAAAAAAAAAACAUGGAUGUGCCAUACAAUUCGGCCUCUUCGGUUGGCCCCUCCCUAAACAAGUCACCGCCGUCGAUCAUAUCCAACGACCCUUCUUCGUCAUUUUUCCCACUCCAUUCCGUUUCUUUAUAAAUAAAUAAAAAAACGGAGUUAAGUGUAAAUAAAAAUAAAUUUUAUUAAGAGGUAUCCAAAAGACACUGGUUAAGAAUAAUAAAAUAAUAAAAACACAUAUAAACGCAUUGUAAAGAAUUAAGCAAGAACAAAUUUCGAAUGAGAGCAAUUUAUUUUAAUUUAAUUUAAUAUAUACAUUUUUUUUCUUUUCCUCCUCUUGAAGAGUUUUUAGUCCCAUUUCAAUUGGCAAGUGAAAAUGCCAAGUGAUUUCCUCUAAGAAUAUUUUAUAAAGUGAAGUUCAUACUAGGAUUGUAUUUAUAUUCUUCAUUGACUUGCGCUAAAGUUUAAUCUCUCUCACUUUCCAUCUCAUUAGCGACCCUUCAUUUCAAGUCUUGGAGGCCUAAAGUCAUGCGCAAAAUCCAAUGAAGUAGAAAUGAUAUUGCCAAUCACUUUCUGAACUCAAGAAAUUGCCCAGAACCAGUGUACACGAUCAUUUUCGAAUAGUGGGGGAGAGGGAACGAGGAAAGUUCCGAAAGGGAAAUCGGAGAAAGAAACUUGGGCUACGGGCAAAUGGCACACGAUCAUUUUCAGAUAGUCUCUGACUGUACCUGAUGGUGAUCUACGUAUAACUUUCUUUGGUCUUUGUUCCAUUGCGUAAGCCAUAAUCCACAAACAAAGUGAUCUAUAGAUGAGAGCUAGAGCCUAGAAACCCCAUCAGAUCUUGAAGUCCAUCAUUCAUCGGCUCUUCUCAUGGCUGCUUCUUCAAAUCAGAAAAGGUGUUAUCAUGCUCCUGAGUUUCAGAGGCAAGAACGUUCGCAACAACUUCCUUGGUCAUCUCUCUACUAGAAAUUUGAAAAUGUCUACUCCUUCGAUCAGAAAUCAAAAUCACUUUGAAAUAUAGAUUUUGCAUCAUGCUACCAACAUGGUUGAGGAACUUCUUCUUUUUCCUCUCUUUAUUUAUGAUUUUGUGAUGCUGAGUAUUUUAAUUCAAAAUUAAUUGGAUGCUUGCUGAAUGGCCAUGGUCUUUCAAGUUGCUUUGUGUAAUUUAUCAUAUGGACAUCUAUCUCCUCUUAUAAUCUAAUUGAUGAUGCUAGCACUUCAUACUCUAAAAUUUUGAGAUAGUAAGUUUGGCUCAAUCUAAUAUAAUCCAUCUAUUUGGGAAAGCAUUGAUCUAAUUGUCUCACAGAUCAAAAGGUCUAUACAGGGAAGAUUAGUUGGCUCCUCUGUUGUCGCUAGGCAGAUCGCAUUAUAUAGGUACUAAGGGAGAGCUUUAGCUUCAAGAUUUUGCAUUUAAGCAAAGGACAUUGACUCAAAGGAAUUGCUUUUAAAGUAAAUAGUGUUUAAUACAUUGUUAAAAUACUUACUGCAGAGCAUUUUUUUUCAAAUAAGCAAGAAGAAGAGAACGGAUGAACUUGCAGUUACAUAUGAAAACUCAAGCGGAGGCCACAAAACUAGACCAGUGCCAACGUGAUGCGAUCCCAUUGUGCUGCCGUGGUCCCAUGCGAUGCGCAAUGCCAUGGCCACACAAUUAGGUAAUGCAAUGCUCGACCCUCAACAAACUAGAUAUGGUGUCAGGUGACCCUAGGCAAGUAGAAUCUGGUGUCGAGCGACCACUUCGAUAAAGCUUGCUGAUGUCCCCCAACCCUCGUCAAGCUUGCCAAUGUCCCCCAACCUUCUCCAAAAAGCAUCCCAACCAUGAGCGACCACGGCUCUCUCUAUCUCCAUCCAAGAUUGGGUUGGGGUAGGGGUGUCAAAAACCAAACCGAAAACCGAACCGAACCGAACUGAAAAUUUUGGUUUUUUUUUCGGUUCGAUUCUCAUUAAAAAUCGAAACUUUUUAACCAGUUCAGUUUUUAUUGGUUUGGUUAACCAAACCAAAUCGAUAAAAUCUAAUGUUUUUCCUCUUUUUUUAAAUUAUUUUUAAAAUUUUUUAAAUUUUUUUCUUUUCCUUCCUCUUCUUAUUCAUUGGCCGGCGAAAAAUUAAAAGAAAGAAAAGGAAAAAUAAAAUAAAAUAAAAUAAAAUUAAAAAAUCGAUUUUAAAAAUAAAAAAUUUAUAGAAAGGGGGUGUAUGUAGGGAGAAAUACAAACAUAAAAGUAAAAACCGAAAAAUCAAGAUUUCGGUUCAGUUCAAUAAAUUAUUUAUUGGUUCGAUUCGGUUUGAUUUUUCAAAAAUACCAAACCGAACCGGACCAUUUACACCCCUAGGGGGUGCUAUUGGAAAAAAAAAAUUAACAUGCAUGCCAAAGAUGUUAAACCCCCGAGCUCUCCCUCGCCUUGAGCUUUGACCAUUUUCAAUGCAAAAUUUUGCACCAAAAUAUUUGAAGUCGUGUUCCAAAAUGCCAGAACUUUGACUCAAGGGCUUUGGGAAAUUCAAAGCUGCUCGUCUCCCAUAUGCAGCUUGAGCGUCCUGGCUCGAUAGGGGCAGAAGUGUAAUUUCAUCAGUGCCAACUCAGUCGGCUCAUAAUUUGGGCCUCUUGACUCGGCCCCUUCCCCCCCAACAGAUAAAACCUAAAAUUUUCUUUUGAAACGGAUCUUGGUGUCCGACGUCUUCCCGACUUUCUGAACCUUUUAGCCCUGAGAGCAAAAAUAGAAAUCUCUUUUUCUAAUUAUUUUCUCUCUUUCUAAAAUUUUGAAUUUUAGCUUAUUCCACUUUAAAAUUUAAUAUCAACUUACAAUGCUCUCUGAAUUGGUGCUUUUUUAAGGCGAUCAAUAUUCACAUCUACAACCAUUUAAUAACAGGAUUAAUCAAUCUUUUUUUUUCAAAUUUUUUUGUCAAGCUUGCACCCUUUUUUAUAUAUAUAAUUUAAGAAUUAGGAGGUAAGAACAUAGUGAUUCAUGGUUCAACAAUUUACAUUAACCUCAAGAAAAAAAAAUAAACGUAGUUAUAAUUACUCUAAAUAUUAUUCUAUCAAAGAAAGAGCCAAUAAAUAAUCUCCAUACUAUAUAAGGAGUUGGCCGAUAUUGAUAAACAGUUAGGAGGACUAAAUAUUCAUUACCCUUAUUAAAAGGUUUACUUGUUUUCUUCUCUCAGAAUCAUACAAGUGUGAAAUAUUAUGUUUACUUCAUUUAUACUAUAAAGAACCCUAAUACUGUGCACACAAUUCAGGCUUUAUAUUUUAUUUUAUUUUUAUUGUAUAAUUGAUGUACACAAAAUAUAAACACGUCUUUGUCUUUCUUCCUAUUUGGUAAAAAAAAAUCUUUCACAAAUUAGAAUAUAUUAAUGUAAACACUUAAUUCGUGUGCUUGUUACACUAUAACUAUACUAAUACAACCACAAAAUAGAANNNNNNNNNNNNNNNNNNNNNNNNNNNNNNNNNNNNNNNNNNNNNNNNNNNNNNNNNNNNNNNNNNNNNNNNNNNNNNNNNNNNNNNNNNNNNNNNNNNNNNNNNNNNNNNNNNNNNNNNNNNNNNNNNNNNNNNNNNNNNNNNNNNNNNNNNNNNNNNNNNNNNNNNNNNNNNNNNNNNNNNNNNNNNNNNNNNNNNNNNNNNNNNNNNNNNNNNNNNNNNNNNNNNNNNNNNNNNNNNNNNNNNNNNNNNNNNNNNNNNNNNNNNNNNNNNNNNNNNNNNNNNNNNNNNNNNNNNNNNNNNNNNNUAUAUCAAGCUAAGUUGAACCCUUUUUUUUUUUGUAUGUGUGGCUCUCCAUACAUCAAUUUCACCUAUCAUUUUAAGAUCGGUUUUGCACGCUAAAAGAGAUAUUAUAAUAUUAUACAUUGCUUGUUUACAGAAUUUAUACUUACCUUAUUAUCUCUUCACGAAUAGUGGCCAACAAAAAAAAUCAUAAUUAAGUGACUCCUACAAGUGCACGAUUACAGAAUGCCGCAUGUGAAAAAAGUAACUUUAACCUGCUAUGAACUGAGAUGACAAAAACCAAUCAAAACAAAUAAUGUUGAUUAAGCUUUUUUAAGUCUAAAGUCCAAGUAUGCAAGGACUGACCUAGUUCAUUUUUUUUUUUAUUUAACAUAGUGAUCAAGAUAAUAUUUUUUACUUACUUAUAGUAGAUAGAAAUAAAAUCUAAUUUUAAUUCUCCAAAAAGUUGACUGAGAUAGUGAGAGAUUGAUUCAUACGACAAAUCCUAUAUCUAGUUACAUACUCGCCAUUGGUAAUCAUGGGCGUGCAUAUCCCAAGCUUAUGGGGUUCAUGUCCCAAGGUUAAAUAACAAGACAUUAUAUAUUCUUUUUCCAACUUAACAUUGUGUUUAGCUUAUGGGGAUUCAUGUCCUAAGAUUUAAUAACGAUGCCAUGUUUAUUUUUUGCCUGACUUGUAUCGAGUUUUUCAUCUCCCAUACCUUUUCUUGGAUGCUUUCAAUGCUUGGUUGUUUACUUUAAAAAGCCAUUUCAAUGGCCUAUAUGUUAAUUUCCUUUCCAGAAGCUUGAGACUAGAACAAUUUUUUUAGUUGUCAACUAAAACUCAAAUGUCAAUACUAAUGUAGACAAUUUUAAAUUUUAAAUUCUAUUUUUAUUUUCUUCACAAGGCCAACAAGAUUGUCGACCUCCCUCGCUAGGCAUGGGGGAGGGUUCGUUGUGUCACAAAAAUAAUAUUUACAAUAUACGAAAAUCGAGAUUAGGCGAAACUUAAACAUGAAUGUGCCAUAUGAUAUUGAACUUCAACUCGUUAGUACUCAGCUCAAUAGUUUUACAAGUCUAAUUGAGUUUUUCUUUUUGUAAAUUAUUUAUGUGAAAUUUCAAGCCCAAUCUAUUUAAAUUUUAGCAUAAUAAAAUUGAAUUCAGGUGCAGCUUUUGAAUACUUCGAUUUUCUUUUCCAAUUCAGUUCGAGCAAGAAAUUCAAUUCUCAAUCAAGCAAAGCUCGAGUGAAGUUUCGCGCUAUCAAACACGUGAGUCGAGCUUGACAUUGCAUCAGCUCGUCUCAAUGUGAUUGUCCUUCUUUCUCGAGGACUAAGCCUAGGACGCUAGCGCUUAGACUUGAUACCUCAAAGGUGGAUUUGCGCGUCCUUUUUGCGCGUUCUUUUUGCGCGUCCUUGGGCGUGGGCCGGACCCGAGACCUCACAAACGAAUCUGGAACUACGAAGAAUCGGCCAAGGACUCAGAAGACAAAAGCUGCCACUAGAUUUAUAAACCCCUAGUGGCAGCUUUUGUCUUCUGAGUCCUUGACUUCCGCCGGUGUACCGUUNNNNNNNNNNNNNNNNNNNNNNNNNNNNNNNNNNNNNNNNNNNNNNNNNNNNNNNNNNNNNNNNNNNNNNNNNNNNNNNNNNNNNNNNNNNNNNNNNNNNCCACCGUAGUUCCAGAUUCGUUUGUCGAUCACGUCGAUCUCGCCCUCCACACCCUCACCGCCGCGCAUAAGCAGCAUAUUUAUCUGAAAUCGAAAGCUGAAAACGUCUUCACGAGCCAAUAUUUUCCUGAGAAUGGGACAGGCUGAGAGCGCUUGUUUCUUUGGAGCGAGAAAGAGCAAGAGCCAGAGCAAAGGGAAGAGAUCGUCGACCUCGCUGCCGAUCGGGGAAGGGCAACCCCGGGUCAGAGGCCGCCGAGCCUCUCCGAGAGCAAAGCCCACUCUGCUUCAGCCUUCAGCCCUUCUAAUGGCCGCUUCUUCGAAUAUGAAAAGGAAUUACCAUGUGUUCCUCAGUUUCAGAGGGACAGAUGUCCGCCAAGGCUUCCUCAGUCAUCUCUACGCGGCUCUGGACCAGCAAGGAAUAUACACUUUUGUGGAUAGCGAGGAGCUUAGGAAAGGAGAGGAAAUAUCGCCGGCGCUCGUGAGGGCGAUCGAGGAAUCGCGCAUCGCGAUCAUCGUUUUCUCUGAGGACUACGUCUCCUCGCGGUGGUGUUUGGAAGAGCUAUUGAAAAUCAUGGAGUGCAAGAAGCGAAAUGGCCUGAUUGUGUUCCCUGUGUUUUACAAAGUGGAACCCAGAGAAGUAAGAGGAGGGAGAGAGAGCUAUGAGAGAGCUAUGGCUAAGUAUGAGUCCAAGUUCGGAAAGAAUUCGGAGAAAGUGAAGAGAUGGAAGAAGGCUCUUUUGGAAGCCGGUAGCUUGUCUGGGUGGGAGUUGAAUGACAGGUAUGCAAAAAUGUGACAUGGUGUUUCGUGAUUGUUAGCUUGUGAUUGUUUGUUAGAUAUCAAAUUGUAUGCUCUUUUUUGGAUCUUCGAAUUGAAGAUACAAAGUGGAGAUAAAUUAGACAGUAGACACAUAACAAAUAACCAAAGCUCGUAGAUUCUUUGAAUUGAUUUUUGCUGUGUGGAUAAUGAGAAAUUUAUCAAACAUAAGUAGUGUGAUUCAUAGUGCCUUAGUCAUUAUUGUCUUCAGAUUCAGGUUCUUUGUAAUUUUCCUUGCGUAGAUGAUGGCGCAGGUUCACCCACCUUUCGUCUUAUUAUUUGCUAAUCUUCUUAUGAAAUUUUCCUUAUCACGUUAGAGGUUGAAUUCCUGCUAUGGCUUUGAAAUGCUAAAACGGGUUUUUCUUUCUUGGAGUGCUUAUCAGAGAUGAAGCGGAUCUCAUACUAUGCAUUGUAAAGGAAUUAUUGAUUCGUCUCAACCGAAAAUCUUUACAUGUCGCUAAGUAUCCGGUUGGAAUAGAUUUCCAAGUUCAAGCACUGUUAAGGUUGUCACAGAAAGAGUCGGCUGAUGAUGAUAUUCUGAUGAUAGGUCUAUGGGGACCUGGAGGCAUAGGGAAGACAACAAUUGCCAAGGCCCUGUAUAAUGCUAUGAUGGGACAAUUUCAGGUUUGUUGUUUUUUGGAGCAAGUUAGAGAAAAAUCAAACCGAAGCGAUGGUCUUGUUACUUUACAAAAGGAUCUUCUAUCUGAGAUCCUGGUUCAUCCUUUAACGAUCUACAGUGUCGCCNNNNNNNNNNNNNNNNNNNNNNNNNNNNNNNNNNNNNNNNNNNNNNNNNNNNNNNNNNNNNNNNNNNNNNNNNNNNNNNNNNNNNNNNNNNNNNNNNNNNUGCAAGAAGGUUCUCCUGGUUCUGAUGAUGUGACCAUAUGAGUCAACUGAAUGCAUUAGCUGGAAAAGGCAAUUGGUUUGGAAAAGGAAGUAGAAUCAUUGUUACAUCAAGAGAUAAGCAAUUGCUGACUUCUCAUGGCAUAAAUUGUGUGUAUGAAAUUCAAACUUUAGGAUGCCAUGAAGCACAAUAUCUUUUUAGUCAAUAUGCUUUCCCAAAUAGCAAGAGUGUUGAAAUAAGAAGGGAUCUCAUAGAUAAAGCACUGCAUUAUGCCGACAGACUUCCAUUAGCCCUGGAAGUGUUGGGCUCAUUCUUACGUGGAAGAAAGGAACCUGCAUGGGAAAGUACGUUGCAUAAACUCUCCAAAAUUCCUGAAACAACUAUCAAUCGAGUUCUCAAGAUAAGCUUCAAUGGAUUGGAGAACAACGAGAGGGAGAUUUUCCUUGAUAUUGCUUGUUUCUUUAAGGGGAAAAAUAUAAAGUACAUCAAGGAAGUUCUUGACAGCUGUGGUUUUCACACAGCCAUAGGAAUAGAUAUUCUCAUGGAAAGGUCCUUGAUAAAAAACCAGGAUGAGACCUUGGAAAUGCAUGAUUUGAUCCAGUCAAUGGGUCGGGAUAUUGUUAAUGAAGCAUGUCGUGAUGAUCCUGGGAAACGCAGCAGAUUAUGGCUUUUGGAAGAUGUUGAGGACAUUUUUUGUUAUAAUACGGUAAAAGUUGUUUAUGUCAGUUUUGCUACAUUUCAGUUUACAUUACUCUAAUUCGGACAGUAUAAUGUAGAUCUUAACUUGAAAUUUUGUCUAACAACUGAAUUUGCCCUGUUAUGGAUAGGGGACGGAUGCAGUAAAGGCUAUAGUAUUGGAAAGGUCCCCACCAGAAGAAAUAAUCAUCAUUCCUAAUGCUUUCACAANNNNNNNNNNNNNNNNNNNNNNNNNNNNNNNNNNNNNNNNNNNNNNNNNNNNNNNNNNNNNNNNNNNNNNNNNNNNNNNNNNNNNNNNNNNNNNNNNNNNAGUACGUCUCAUGAGCUAAGAUGGCUUGUAUGGCCCAAUGCCCCAAAUCUAGAAUUUGGCUCUGGUCCAAAUAAACUUGUGAGACUCGAUGUCCCGCAAAGUCAUAUCAGACAAUUAGGGGGCAACUCUCAGGUAAGCCCUUGUGAUGAUUAGCUUUUCCUUUUUAUAGCUAUAAAAAAUAUUUGCAGAGCUGAAUGAUUGCACUAGUAUGUUUUUGCAGAAAUUUAGAGAGCUGAAGUGCAUCAAUUUCAGUGCAUGCAAGUCCGUGGUUAGUAUUCACGACCUGUCAUUGGCUUCAAAUAUGGAGAAAUUGAUUCUUGAUGGAUGUGAGAGCUUGGUGGAGGUUCACCCAUCCGUUGGAAAUCUUGUCAAGCUAGAAGUUCUGUCACUAGAGUCUUGCUCUAAUCUUGGUAAUUUUCCCAAUACACUGAGGACUAAAUCCCUUCAAACCCUUAAUCUCUCUGGUUGUUUUAAAUUCAAGAAGUUCCCAGAUAUUGACGGAAAGAUGGAACAUCUGAAAGGACUUUAUCUUGAUAGGACGGCUAUUAAAGAACUCCCUGCAUCAAUUGAAAAUCUUGUCUCUGUGAAGCGGAUAACAUUAGCAUUUUGCAAUAACCUCGUAAGGCUUCCAUGGCACAUUUAUAAGUUGAAAAAUCUCAAGGAUUUGAAUCUUUCUAACUGCUUGAAUUUAAUCACAUUUCCAAAAAAUAUGGAGUAUUCAACUGAUCCCAAUGUUGGUUUCCAAAAACUAAAGUUCCUAAAACUUAGCCACUGCAAUCUAUCGGAAGUAGACUUCCUCGAGAGUUUUUCCAGUUUUCCCAUAUUGGAGAGACUAUACCUUUUAGAUAACAAGUUUACUCAUCUGCCGGCAUGCAUCGACAAGUACCCUAGUUUGUACGAAUUGUGUGUUGAUAGAUGCGAGCUGCUACAAGAGAUUCCUCAGCUUCCACGACAUAUCGUGCUAUCAGCCGAUCGUUGCAAAUCUCUG